CGCACGACGUUUUAACCGAAAUAACUUCUUGCGCAAUUCAUGCCUUUCUAUUUUUAUGACCAAAAAUUGUUUCUUUAUUUCCAUUUCAAAUUGUUCUCUGGAUUUUUUAUCAAUAUGAGGUGAUCGUAACACAGUAUAUAAGACUCAUGAUUUAGGCAAUCCAAUCUUCCGUGUGUAAGGCGGAAGCCCCAAAAAAUUGUUUUCCAAAAAUGGGUGAUCAAAAGAUCUAAUUACUAUGUGUAUCUUGGUGGUCGUUACUUUUGGUAGUCUUUCUUUUUGGUUGACUCCUCUUCUUGAUCUAUUGAUCAGAAGCAUCCAGUAGCACCACGCUAGUAGAAAGAGUUAAGCUACUAAGCUAAGCUACUAUUGGGGAACUCGGUUGAAGCAAUUUGCCGAUUCCGCCUAUCAAAGUUCUAUUCAUUUCCAAAGGAGAACCUCGUCCGAGAACUUGUAUAGAGAAGGAUUUCCCGUGGCGCAGCAGUUCUUCCAUACCAACUUGGUGACCCUUAUUUACUUGUUUAUAAGGUUCCUAGAGGUUGGUUGUUUAUAGGCCUUAUCCACACAAGUAAUGGAGAACAUACGAAAGCUUUGGAAUAUUAUUUUUGAGCACUAGAAAGAAACCCAUUCUUACCACAAGCUUUUAAUAAUAUGGCCGUCAUCUGUCAUUACGUGCGACUAUCUCUACUAUAGAAAGAAAAAAGAAAAUCUACUAAUAAAAUAAAUAGUAGAAAAACAAGGCUUUCUACAUGUCCAUCGUCUAAAACAAGGCGAGAAACUUCCUUACUCCAUUGAAUAAAGUACUUAAGAGGAAGAUCAAAUCUAUAGCACUGUCGGACUUGCUGCUGUGAGACACUACUCCUCAUAAGGAAAUGCCCUAGGUCGCUUCUUUCCUCUUAGAGUCACUUCCUUCCUCUUGCAGCCACUUCCUUUUAGAGUAGCCCCUAUUCCAAUAUACCUAUUUUGAGUAAGAAGCCUAUCUUUUAGGCAAAAAUAGAAAACAAUCAAGAUAGUAGCAAUCUGCUUGAAAGCCAUCAAGAUAAAAGGCAAAGGCAGAGGAGUUUGAAAACUCUUUUUCAGUCCCAAUUUCGCAUCGCCCGUCGGGUAUGGUCAUCGCGUGAAGGUCUUUGUUUUUAUGUGCUGCUAUGCGCUUUCUCGCUUGCCUAUCUCUGUGACUUUAGAUUUCUAUCUUUCUCUCAGUAAGCUUGCUUCAUUUUUCUAAUUGCUAAGCGUUAUACAGCUGGAGCGGUGCCUUUAUAGGAGUCUGAACAUCAAUUUCUUAUCUUUAAAGAUGCUAUUUUGGAUUAGAUCUUCAAGUAGACCAUAAAGAGGAUUGGUUAAGCGAGGAUAGAGGGAAAUUUGAUAGCGCCUUUACCAGAUAAAGAAGGCAGUUCUCUGGGAUUCUUUCUAAAGGAAGUCUCACAUUGUAGUCUUUUUUAUAAAAAAAGGUCUCUGCAUAACGGAAUAGAAAAGCAAAAGAUUGCAGUUUUCAAUUUCACAGCUUUACAUUUGCAUUAAAUGCCAGCUAUGAGCCGGGUUAUAAUAGAAUUGGCCAAAAGAUCGAUUUCAUCCUUCUAACCAACCUCUUCUCCCUUUUGAACUAAUAAGGCAAGCAGCCUUUUGUGGAUUUAUUAAUCCAGAAGAAGAGUCAGCUACUCAAUUGGAUAGACUCACUAUCUAUUGAAUUCUCUCUCUAUCGUCGUUUGCCUCUGUUUCCACAGAAGAAAGAGAAUCUGGAUCUAGUACCAUCUUUGAUUCUGACUUGAAGUUCAUCGCCCACCUGCCCACCUUCCCGUGCUAAAAACGACUGUCAGAAUCAGUCACCAUGACCAAGCAAGCAUAAAAGUCCUGAACCUAUAGUCCGCCCUUGACUUCAAUUAGAACAAUGACUAGUAACUGGAGGACUGUGACAAUGUCUUCCUACUAUCUGUGAUACACUGAAUUUUAGGAUAUUAAGGGUUAUUUAUUUUAUUUUUGUUUUAAAAGAUUGUUUUGUUUUAAAGACUAGAAACCUUAAAUUUUAAUCAAAACCCUAGUUUUACUUGGGACUAAAAGGUUGUUAUUUAAUUGAGUUUAUGUAUGACAAUGCAUGUUUUAUGAUAGGUAAUUAUAAUGGUUGGGUGGUUAGUAGACUAUGAGGUGUAAUUAAGCUUGGUGGAUUACAUUAAGUUGGUGAUCUAUGGAGUUAAUUGCAAAGAUUAGAAGUUGUUGGGGCUAUAGUGUGAGGAUUAGCAAAGUAAGUUUACUAGUAAUCUUAAAGCUUCUAGGAUCUUCCCAAGCUCAAUUUUGAUUGACGGAGAAAAAGUGUACUUUGACUUUGGCUUAAGUUGUUAGUAAAUCAAAGAAAAACAAAGCCAAAAUCUAAGAAGGAAAAAGAGAGAGAGGGCUAAGAGCUUCAAGGGAGGAACAAGAGAGAGUUUCAACUUUGGGUUCUUGAUUUCUUGCUCAAUCUUGCAAACUAACCGAUAGAUUCACCAAAUAAUCCAUAGAAGUUGCUUAGGAAGGUGGAUUGCUAUCUUGGAGUGGAGUGUUUUGGUGGUUCAAGCUUCCUAGGGGUUGUUGUGCUUCUCCAAGUCAAGGUAAAGUUGGUAUUAGUUCAUGGUUGUGUUAUUUAUUGGUUUACAAGUGAAAGUUAUGGCUUGUUUAGGUAAAUUUCAUGAUUUUAGUGGUGGUUAUAGUAAAUUCCAGUUUUAUAGUGUAAUUUUCAGAUUUGGUUGUUGGAAUGGAUGGUUGUUCUUGGUGUUCAUGUUGUAGUAAUGCUUAUACUUAGUUUAUAGAAGUGAAUUCAUGAUUAAAAAUUAUUAGUUUUGUGGCAUAUAAAAUUCGGCCAGCAAGAAGGGUUUGAAUUAGGGUUUUGGUUGAUAAAUUUAUAUGUAAUCUUGUGUAUAUGAUAUAGUUGUAGCUUGUGUUGCGAAAUUGUUGCAAAUUUGGUGACAUUCCACUUGUAGCGGAAAGUUUAGCUCUUAUUCAGAAAAUUCCAGCCUUGAGUUAGGGAUUUGAGUCAAUUAUUGAGUGGUUAGCUUAGCUAAGUAGGUAUACAAAAUGUUACAACUGGAAUGAAUGCUAAAUUGACGUAUGUUCGAUUGCCGCGGAAGUUUUCCGCUUUGGUUUGGUAAUUUCAGCAUUUUGCAUGGGUUGUGAUUGAAGAACUUAGCUUGGUAUUGCUUUAAUGGUAGCUUCGAUAUUGGUUUAUGAUGUGUUUUCUUGAUUUGAUGUAUUUGGUGUGUUGAUUAGUACAAGUUAGUCAUGAGUGAGAAACCAGAAAAUAAAACAGGGUUUGUCAAACUUAUAACUUUGGCUUCAUUUUUUACUUUGAUCCGUAUCAAAUCAGUAGUUGGCCAAAACACAAACAUUUUAGUUCUAUGUUUCAGCUUUCCAACGCAUCUAAAAAUGCCCCAAUCCGAAUUUUGUAGCCUAAGUUAUUGCCAUUUGAAUCUAGUUCUAACAAACAGGCUGACAAUGAAAUUUUGAUUCUGUAAUCUGCAAUUUCAACCUACAUCAACUGAAAACUGGGUUGGCUUGUUUUCAUGAAAGUUGUAACCCUUUGUUUUAGUUUCGAAAUGCUACCUAGUACACCUUGAUCCAAUAACCACAACUCCAGUUAUGGUCGAAACCGUGCAAUCUGUUUUCAUACCGAUUUCCAUCGCGUGCACCAUUUUCAUUUCCAUGCCCGCACACAUGCAUUUCUUUGCCCUUUUUGCCAUUUUGGCCGUUUUAGUCCUUAUUUCCUUAUGAUGGUUGUUUGACUAAUAGUUGAGUAUAAUCUUCUAUCAUAGGUAGUAACGACUCGGACGGAGUCGGUGGACCCGUAUAAAUUGUCUUGAUUUGCAUGCUAACUAUUUUGGGUGAGUAAUUGGAUUUGUUUAUAUAAUAAAUUGUCAAAAUGCUUUGUAUAUGUUAAAUGAAUACUUAGGCGAGGGUGUACUUUAUCUCACUCGACCUAAGGUCAUUCUCUGUUCUUGAUUUAAUAUGUGAGGAUACAUGCCUUGUGUUGAAGUGAACCCCUUGUGCUGUAUGUUGUUGGGGUGAUUACAUGACUUGAGUAUUUUGUUGAGUACUUUGUUGAGAGAUUGGAUAUCUCAGGGCUUGGUUCCAACCCAGUUCCAAAGGUAGGCAGACUAUUCGAGCCGGUCAGGUUUUGGUCGAAGUCAGUUCUAUGCUAACUUUGGGAUUUUAUUCUUUGUUAAAGCAAAGUGAUUUUGCUUUUGCUUGAGCUGCUGUGCACUGAUGACUGGCUAGCGGGGGUUGAUAAGGUGAAUGGGGAAAGUAAGUGGAAUCUACGAACCAUGAUUAUUUUGGUUGACGGAGUGUUAACAGGUGGUCAAGCUCCGGGAAUUGGACUGGCUUUGAAGCCACUUGUAUCCUACUAUUGUGAUGUUACAUUUCUGUUUAUUGAUGUGAAAUAUCUUGGUUUACAUGUUUAUUUGGAUGUGAUUUUAUGUUUUUACCCCGAUUACUUACUAAGCAUAUAACUUAACCCAUUCUAUUUGUUUUCCUUAGCAGGGGCCGAUGCGGGGAUCGCUCGGGAAGGUGUAUAGUAUAGGUGACUUUUGGUUUAUAGAAUCGUUGAUUUGUGCCCUAGUACUUGUUAUAAGUUGAUUAGUAAGAUGUAUAUAAAUGUUGUGGCGGUUAUAGUUAGUAGCUUCUUUAGGAUUUACUUUCUUGUACUAGUGGUGUGUAUGGCUUGAUGUAGUAGUUUUAUACAAUUUUUGAAGAUGUAAUAGUGUAAAUAGAACUCUCUUUUAGCAUGAAAUCUAUUUUCUCAUUUUUAGGUAUCGAGUCUUGGCGCGAGCUAGGCAGACGAUCCAUUAAACCCUUUGGUACGCCUCUGGGUACAGUGGGGUCGUCACACUAUCAAAGAGGUAAAGUUACGCGACUUCAGUAACCGAGGGGGAGAAAAAAGGCCUAAGCUGACUCUUUUUUUUUAUCGAGAUCAGCUUUGCUGCCUUGAUCAAGCGCAGCCCGAGAGAGAGACGAAAAAGUUCACUAAUGACGAUAGCAAGGCUCGAGCCAAUAGUCUUCCCUUUUCUACAAGGCUUCUUUUUCCUUUCCUGCUAAGGAAUCCUAUGCUCACUAAUUUAGAUAUCCACAUUUGUAUCAACUUGCCAGAUUAUUGACUUUGCUUAAAGAAUGAGAUAUCAAUCCAACUCAGAGAUAGGCACCUUAAGGAGCGGGGCAGCAGUCCACGAAAGUCAUUUGACUUCCUUCUUUUAUUUGAAUUAGAUACCUUCCAUUGGUCGCAUCCGGUCAAUCAAUAAAAGAGAAGAGAAUAAGAGCAGAUAUGGGCCUCCCUGAAGGUCCUCAAGCUUGUGGCAAUAAGUUGAGUGAGCUACCUACAUGUUAGGGCCACUUACUAAUUUAUUGAAUUUUAGCCUUCUCUAAAGGAGAAAGUUCAAAUAUGGUAAUAAAGAAACCAAUACACUGAGAAGGGCUUCACACGGCUACUGUUAGCAUAUAAAGAGUAUACAUCACAUGUAUUCUCAUGCUAAUUCUAAUUUCGGAAGGGUUGUCAGGUGCUGUUCUUUCCCUCUGUCUUACAUGUUACUUAAGACUGGAGGUAAUGGUAAACUAUAUGGUCUGUGGCCACAGGAUCCUAUUUAAGUGGUGCCUAGAAAGAUUAAUGUAUUCGCAAUGGUCUUCCAAGGAUCCUAAUUUACUUGAAUCGCAUGAGUGAUUGGUCAUCUGGGCUAUUAUUGGACUAGGAGAUGCCACGCAAGGUGCAGGAACUACGAUUCUUCGUCAGAUUAGUCAUACUUAUAAAUCUUUAUUUAUAUAUAAUAAUCUAUAUAGGACUAUGGGCAGUUCAUCGAGGGCUUCUCGGGUCGGGUGAUCGGAAGCUUAAGCUGCUUUUGCCUUACCUUCUGGGCGAAUGAGGGGCGUGUGCAAUAGUUUUCUUUCUUUCUCUUGCUUGAUCACUUCAUCCUAUAAUUUGAGAGAUAACAGGCUCUUGAAUUCGAGGAUGUGACACAAAUAAUGACUCUCUUUGUGGGGAUGUCCGUAGAUUAGGCAGCUGUAAGGUUUUUUUAUAUUCGGUAGAAGGCAGGCUGAAACUCUGCCCCAACCAAGUGAAACUAAGGGUCUGAAAGAGUUCACGAUCUGAUCUAUGGAGUGUUAACCCUACCCCCGGAGGACUACGCUACAAUUUUUCUUCUCUUAUUCCAUUUCUAACCAAAAGAAACUUACUAUAUAAUAUAGAGCAACCCAUUUUCAAGUCUUGGAGGAAGCACAUGGCAUGGACAGCAUGGUAAGUAGGACAGCCAAUCCUUAAGAAAGCUAUCUCACCAGGUAAAACAGGGUAGCGAAACUAGGAACGGAGUAUUGGCUUGUUAGAGCUAGGCUGAUGAGUUAAAGUAAGCGAGCUAGUCAUACGAGCUAGUGAGCUAGGCAGCUUGCUGUAGUUGCUACGGUAAACUGGAGUGAAAGGGCAGUAGAGAUGGAGGACUAAAGAUUCCUCAGAGGUGAAGACAACCAGAGGAUAUAUUCCCAGAUUCUUUCGUUCCAGGGAUUGGGAUCUGAGUCAAAGACAUCAAUCAAAGAAAUUUUGUAUAGUUAUGUCAGAAAAUGCAUUCCUUUCUCUUCCUAGAAAGCUUUCAAAUUCAUUCCUCUGGCUUUGCUUCUUUUCAGUUCCUUGGUCAUGAGACCUUUUUUCGCCUUGUAGCUCGCUAUCUUAUUUGCAGCAACCUUCUCAAUGCUGAGAGUAUUCGAGCACUAGAUAUGGACUACAUUUUGAACACCGAGUAGGAUCAAAGAAACUAGCGGACUGAUCACUAAAUAGAUAGAAAUAGGAGCAAAUUCUGACAUCACCACAGCCCACUUGGUUCUCUCGCUCCUUGCUCUCGGAGCAGCAUACCGAAAAAAAAAGAAAUAGGAUUUCUACUUUACAAAAUAUUUCUAGCUGAUACGGGAUCAGUAACAGAAUGUAAAAUGUCUAAGACUUGAUGAAAAUAGUCACUACCAUAGCCAUACAUGGUCAGGUCUUUCAAAAUCUCACACAAACACACGAGAUCCCACGUUGGUUCCCCAAUUAUAUCCCUCACCAAUUGACUAUAUAUCCAAGUUUCUGGACAAGAAAAAUUAUAAUCAGUCAUUAAUUUCUCGAUGCUUUUCGAAAUAGCAUCGAGAAAUUUAUUGGACGCAAAAGAAGAAAGUGUGAUGGGCGGAUUUUCUGGUUGACCUAUAUUUAGACCUACAGGAUCACUUAAAUUAUUAACACCAAUAAGCAGAUUUACCAAAUUAUCCAGAACGAUAUGUUGUUCUUGUUCCGAAAUACCAGCGGAUAAUCUUUGAAUUGUAUCCAUAAGAAUGAGUUUAUUGUCCAUGUUGGAACAUAAGUCUCAGUUGUCUGUAAACCCCCCCUUCACCCCUACCCCCUACACUAAAGUAGUAGAGAAGGGCUCUUUGGGGUCUAAUUUUCUUUCUAUCUGACAGGACAGAAGGGAUGGUUCUUUCAUUGUAUUGAUAGAAGUCUAAGAUCUAUCUAUUACUUUGAGAAAAGAAUCGUUGGUUUGCCCGACGAAUUACGUGGGAAAUAUGAGUUGAGAGGGCAAGAGGAUUCGAUCUCCACAAAAGGCUAAAGAAACAUAAAAAAAGUUAAUCAUCUUUCUUUUAUACGCAAUUUCAAAAAAAAUACAUAUAGAGAGGUGCAAAGGACAGAUAUGCCAAUUUGGGAUAAGAAGAUAAAUAUUUCCUCUAUCAAUGAAUUUGAAAUAAGCUAAUAAGCUAUUUCUCGAUUCGCCGCAUUUCUAUCUCUGACUAUCAAAAAGAAGACAAGCUUUCCAUUUAGGGUGUUCACUUACUCGAUUCAAGAGCGACUACCAGACAAAGAAGAAGAUUUAAUCUUUCUAUCCGAUAUGAAUACAUUGAAUUCGAGAUGCAAAUGAAUUGAAUAGGAAUUAACCCACGGAGUGGUGGACAAAUUCAUAGCUGCCGCUUUCAUACAGCUACUUGUGUUAUUUUCGAAUCAAGAUUUAGACUAGUUAUAGUAGGGAUAAUCUUACCAGUGCUAACGGCCACCAGAAUAGCUACAAGCAAAACCAAACCCAUUUUUAAUACGAAACUAAUUGAUCUAUACCAUACAUACUGAGUAAUUCAAGUUCUCUUUCUUAGACCGACAACUCGUAUCUCGAAGACACAAGACAAGUCCCGAUCCUCUUACGUUGAAGUGUGGUGAGGUUUUGCCUCACAGAAACAGAAGGAGUGGGAAAUUGGGGAAAAAGCUGAAACGGAUUCGACCAGUACAAUACUGAGUCUUAUUGAGGCCAUGAAGACGGACAGCACUUGGUUUACAGCUGACCAACGAAAAAAGACUCCAAUUCUUUCUGUUGGUCAACAACCAACCAGUGAUUUCAAUAGCAGUUUAUUCGUUCCCUCAAUCCUCUGAUGUAAACCUAAGACUAGUGAAAGAAAAUAAGUUACUUGUUCCCCUCUCUUUCUUCAUUCAAUAUCUGUCUAGCCUACUAACGACAUCCUUUUUUAUCUACGCUAUUUACCCUUCAUUACUUCCCCAACUUUGAUUUAAGUUCCUUGAUCUUUUCUCCUAGUGGUACCAUCUCUACUUUUUCUCCUUUCCAUCUACUAAGUUUGCGGAAAAGAGAGAGCAGACGGUUCUCGGCAUCAUGAUGCAAGAAUGACAUCUGAGAUCGCUUAUUCCAUUGCUUUACAGUCAUGAUAUGAUAGAAAUGAUUCUAUUUAUUAGAGAGAGACAACACCUAUUUUUAGCAUCGAAGAGGGAAUUUUGUGUAGACUGCUUUUUGAAAGUGAAAUAGAGACUUUCACUAAAGAGUGAGAUUGAGGAGUGAAAGAAUCCAGUAUUCACAUAAGAAAGUGGUAGUAGUCCUUUCCUAUAUAAGAGAAAGGCUGUUCUUACCUGGGGACGUCUGCCUAAGAACCGGCUUUUGAGAGGUCUUUCUUUGCCUCUUUUCUGGACGGCUUACUGCUCCGUAGGCAUCUUAUGAGUUAUUUUUAGUCUAGUUUGUUUUGCCCAAAUUAAAGAGUUCUUUUUCUUAUUACAGGUGUAACCAGAACCACCGAUUAAACAAGCAUUCCCGAGUUCAUUAGAAGUUAACUCCUUCGCCCGGACCUUUAAAAGUGGGAUGCUAUAUAAAAGAAAUACCACAAAACUGAGCAAUAAGUCUAUCCGAUCGUGUUGACGCCAACGACCUUCUUAGGAGCUUCUCCCCACCGAAGAAACAAGAGUUGAGUUCGGGAGUUCGAGUCUUUCCUUUUCUUAGGAGUUCCAGAUGAAGGAAGUAUGGUAAUUUUCAAUUAAUCUUCCCUUCAAUCAAGACGACCAGUUGGAGAGGAAUAAGCGGUUUGUAGGCUUCCCGCUCCCAUAGAUCUUCCUUUCUCUUCUUAAUGACCUAAUGCAAUUGACCGUACUGACGGGAAUGACGGUCACUGGCAGCACCAAAGCGAGCACCAAUGGAAAUGAAGAAUUUGAAUAGCUUUUCGUUCCUUUUUUGGGGUUAAACUCAUAAGACAAAAGAACUCCAUAUGAACUCGGAGGGAGAAAUUCAUUCUUUUAAGACGCAAAGAUGGGUGUCACCAAUCUCUUAUCGGAUUUCACCAACCUUAAAGAAUUGAGUUUGAUUUACGUAAGUACAUAUAAAGCACUAAAGAAGCUCCUUCUCCUCCUCUUGUUGUUGUUUUGACUUUGUCUUAUUAGACAAGUGGUAACCUAAGCAAGAGAGAUUGUACUUUAAUUCCUCUACUGGCUUUCAACCCUUGGACGGCUAUCCUUGGCAUGCGUGCUACUGGCCUACCUACUGAACUCCUACUAUCCUGCUACCAAGCAUUCUCUCUUUACUCGCCUAAGGAUGCACUAAGAAAGAUUGCUACAAUGACAAAAGGAAAGAGAAUACACAACGAAGGCAGAAGCAAGAAUCGAAUUCACACUAACCCGUCAAUUUGGGUUCCAAUUCGAGAUUUUUCUUGGGAGGUAUCGUGAAAGAAUUGGAAAAGACUGCCAUCUUUGUGGGCCGCCUAUUGAUCGAACGCAAAUCCACAGGAUUACGGGAUGACAGUUAUUGGUUGAGGUCAAGUAAAUAUGAUUACAUACCUUCUGUUUGACCUUUCUUGGUCUGGUGUGACUAUUCCUCAUUCUUGUCUUAUGAAAAAGCCAGAAUCAAUCAUUCGCGAUGAGUAUAAAAAAAGUCUUUUUUAGUGAUGCUUGAAAGACGGCUUCGAGAAAGGGCUUUUUUCAGUAAAGUUCAGCCUUUCCGCUAUCAAAACAAUUCACUCCAGAUGGGUGCUGAAUACGCUUUCACGAUAGGUAGUGGUGGAGCUUGCGUAAUGUAAUUGUAAUUAAGGCUGCAAUUCAGUCUUUCUUUUUCUUCCUGCAAAGCGAAAAAUUCUCAGAUUCUUACUCUUUCUCCUUUGGAUCGGAUUCAGCUCCAGACCUUGGUACGUUGAGGUUAAGAUUUUCCUGGGUUUCCUCUUGAAUUGAAACGGCGCAGCUCCCAUAUUACAUCGUACUCACUGACACUACACUCACCAACAGGGGAGACUCCUACCGUUCGUCAAUCUACUACCAAACUGAGAUACAGAAACACUUCGCUAAAGAUUCACCUGGGACUGAGAUACGUACAUGGGUAGGAGUUCACUAACCACUGUUUGCAUGAGUAAUAAACAAGAAUUUCGAAAUCAAUUACAGUUGGCCUUAUUCCCUGCCUUGACAUUGACCGCUAUACCUAACAAGGCAAGGCAAGGGGGAACGGUAAAUAAGUAGGAUAGAUAGUUACUCGACUCUGGCCUUGAAACAAUGACCUGGCAGAAGUACUCAAAGGUGAUAGACGUCCUACACGCCUAAUGUCAAGUUAAAGUGUUUGGUUUGAUAGAACCAAGUAGUAGUUAGUCGGAAAAGAAGAGAAAGAGACUCCAACAGACUCAGGCAAUACCAUUAAGACAGAAAGGGAGAACCGACCAGGGUUGGAAGAUUGCCCCACCACUUCAGUUCUCAUAGAAGGAGAAGCUGUGAGCUAAUAAGAAGAAGGCUCGCAAAUCUUUAUCCCUUGCUCUAAAAUGCCUUCCCCCGAGAAUGAAAUUGGAGAGGGAAGGCCCCGCUCCCCGAAUAGACGGAUUUCAUGAUGGCCCGGGUGGGAAAUUUCCAAUUUAGAUGGAUCUUCUUCUUUAUGGAUAGAGGUUAGCUUUGCUAGUUGUAACCGAUGCCACAAAGGUUUAAAACGAAGAUUCAUUGAUGCCUUUACGUGAGUCAGUCUGGCGAUUUCCUUUCUUCCUUUAAACUAGCCUAUCAUAUGAGGUGGAUCAAAUGGUUCCUUUCUAACUUCCUAUGUUAAGAGGUUCCUUUAAAGUAGAAACUUGGUGUUGACCCAUUCACCUCCUGAACUUACCGUCUAGCCGGAGUAAACUACCUAUGCUCCUACUGCACGUAGGCUGCUAAACUUGCGCAACAAAAGCUGAUAUUCAAGUUAAUUAUAAAAUGUGGUUAGAUAUCAAAUCGAUAUUAGUUUUUAUUAGAAUUAUAUAAGAGAGAGAUGUAGGCUUAGUCAAAAGUGUAAAGCCAAACUCUAUCUCUAAAAGCGUACUCAAGCUUCGAUUGUUGUGUUUAGUCGCUCUUGUGAGAGAUAGGGCUAGUACGGACCCAAUGGUGCUUUCACGAAAGUACGGGCAAUGACGUCGGUCAACCAUUUCCUGAACGAUGAGCUUCUAAACGAACGACUGACUAUCGGGCAUAGGCAAGAUGGUCACCUAAUGGCUUUUGUAAGCUCGCAGUGAAGUUAGGCAGUAAGAGUAACAUUAAGUACGGUCUUAAGUCAGUUAGUUCCCCAAGCCAACAAUGAAAGGGUGGAGUGAGCCUAGCACCUGACCCUUCUAUUCCUUCGGUCUAAUCCCCCGCGACUUGCCAUUGAAAGGGAAUGCCAAUGAGGGAGUGACUCAGGGCUCAGUUAGCGCUUAGGGUUCUAGGCUAAAUUAAGAUGGUCUGUAAGUUCAUACUUCAAAGGGAGAAAAUACACCUCCAAUCAAGGUACAACCUUUAGGGAUAACAUGAAGCCAAAAGUAGGAUAGUCUAAGGAACUGUCUUGAAGUCAUUUGAGGCCUAAUAUAAUAGAUGCUCUUCCUGUAGUUGCUUUUCUAAUCUGUCUAUUCCUUUUGGCAAGGGUCCAUAUUUGGAAUCUUACCUAUUGCAUUGCUUCUUUCCUCUAAUUCAAUAGUACGAUCCCUGACCACCCAGUGUUCAAUUCCAAUUUAUGAUUACAUACCUCAUGAACCUAUAUAUUGUAGACAAGACACCCCUAUGGUAGGAAACGAAGAUUAGUUCAAGGUAAUCCACUGGCUUGCUCGAUUCCCUUUGUUUCUUCGGCUUUUGCCCCAUGCCGCAUAAGGUCUGGUCUAUCCUCUGUAUGUCAAUCUCACGUUUGUCUAUCAUGAAAGGGACCCUUUUCUCCUUGGAGAGGUAAGCUCUAUAUUCACAAUGAAGGGCGCCUACAAUGGUAGAAAGAUCAUCGUUUCCUUUCCUUUAAGCGUCUCAUCCCGAAUCUUGGUGUGGUAAAGUAAUCGAUAGACUCAUCUGGUCACUCCCCUAAAGAUUGCAAGUUCGAAUCCUAUCCGUACUUCAUGAAAACUACAUUUUUAAUAUGGCCGUCAUUUGUCAAGAUAUGGACUCCCCACUCUGAACACCAGCGGACUAUUACUGGUACCUGUUCACCGAUAAUGAAAAUAAGGAUGGGCAGGAAUAUGCGGAAUACAUCCCAACUAGACCUCUUAGAGCACCGGGGAUCACCAAAAUACGUUCCAGCAACGCCACCGUCUGAACUAUGAAGCUCCCCGAAGUACAUUCCAGCUGUUUGGCACAGGAAUCGGGACGUAUUCCAGAUAGUCCCAAUCGUAGCAAAUGUAAUGCGUAAAAGAGUAAGGGGGACCCAUAGUCUUACCAAAACAUGUCGGUUGACGACAUAAUGCCAUGCGCAUGGUGGAAGAAAGGCUAUGUCUCAAAGCUAAACCAUUGCAGCAAGGGAUUUUUCUUAGUAAGAGGUGCUCUUUCAUUCAGUAGCUGCAAAAAAAUCUUUUUUUUAUUAAAUAAAGUGGAAAAAAAAUUACAUCUCAAUGAGCUCAUAAGAAGUAGCUUCAACUGCCUUUCCAAUGGGUUACCCCCGGCUACUAGCAUCUCUUGAUUGAGGAAUAAAGACUAUGCCAACCCGAUCGUCAGCAUCAACAUCAAAGCCGAAAUUUGGGAUUGAAAGCACCUACUAUUCAAGUUUCAUCCAAGGGAAAUUCAAAUAACAAUAGAAUAGGCCUUCCACCUCGAAUCUAUCUCUUCGACCUGUAGUAGUUUGAAUCUUCAAUGGCUGUUCAUUGCAUGAACGAGCAAAGAGAGCAAAUAUGGUUCUUCAGUCGAGCUUAAUGCUACCACCGAAUAAUUCCUUCUUUCUUUGCCCUUCGGGAACAUCCUCACAUUCUAUAGUUAAGCUUACUAACUGCCGUAGCUUUUAGGUUCCAUGCAGUUUUGCUAGCUAGCCCCUAAAAAAUAGAUAUACUUUUAGAACUCCACGUGCUUUACCCCGGAAACUUUUGGACUUUAAUCGGCUUUGAGGAUAUACCUUUCAGUAGUGGCUCUAUCUGUAUUCAGCCAUUUAGAAAGAAAUAGAAAGAUAGCUUUCGUGCUCCAAUGGUGAAAGAGAAGGAUAAGAUAGAUCCGAAUAGUGACAGAUAUAGAAUUUUAUUCAAGUUAGCCCCCCUUGUUGCUCUGUUCUCUCUCUAUACCACGAUGAAUAAAAGAGAGUCCUAUACCUAGGAAACAACUAGUGCGCUAUCCUCCUCUAUCUUAGACUAUAUGCCUUCGCUUUGUACUUCUACUAACUCAAUUGGGAGUAAACCUGGAAGUACACCUUUGGUUAACUAAGGCUAAGAUCCCACUUGCCACUAAGCUUUAGGGAAGUCAACUUUAGAUAAUCCCAGGGCUAAUGUCCUUGAAUCGAAGAGCGAUACUCUUUUAAUUAUUUCUUACUUGGAAGUAACAAACAUGAGGCAAUGAAAAAGACUCUUGUAUUAAGAUUUCCAAGGUUUAGCCAAGGCUUAGCUCAGGACCCCACCUCUUCUUCGUUUUGCUUUUCUAUCCAAGGCUCUUUCGGAGCAGAAUGAAUUCCACUUUUCCAAGGCCUCUUUCCUACGAAGCCUUGGUAAGUAGUGUCCUACCAAAAACCUCUCAAUCAAGUCUUCACACCCCUAUAAAACCCAUUUUCCUAAAUCUAUACCUUUAAAAAAUAGGGCAUCUUCUUAUUUUUUUUCGUCUUCUAGUUCAAACCUCUUCUGAUGGGUAGGUUCCUAUCCUUUAUCUAUUAGUAAAUAGUAAAUGGAUGAAAUUCACUCGUCAGAAUCCAUAUACGAAACUACGUAAAAUAAGGCCAUGGUCGCUGCAUCUGAAAUCAUUCGUUCACCCGAAAGCCCUCUCUCUACGCUAAAAUGCUAAAUCAUUUGGGCUCUUUCACAUAGGAAUUUUAGUAAAAAGUUCCUUAUCGGUUUCGCAUGCCAAUUGGCAACUGCUCUAUUUCGUAUCAUCCCACCCAAACCUAUACGCUAUUUCACCAACGAUCAUUUCAUUUCUGAGCAAACGGGAUCCUGACCAUACACAAAAAUAGAAUGACCUAUAUGGCAAGGCUUUUCCAAGCCAUUUUGGGGCAAGCGGAUCAUUUAUGAUGAAGAGGAUGAGCUUCUCAUUCUUGAAAAUCCACACUUUUCCAAACCCAGAAGACAGACGGAAUCCUAGGAUUCCUCCUUGAGACAAAUACUUUUAUGCAUACCUCUUUUGGUUGAUCCACACCAUACUCUAUUCUCGUAAAAUGAUAUACACUAGCUAAGAGCCCGCCGAGUGCUACAUCAUAGGCACAUUGGGAACGGAGCCCGACAUUCCCUACUUGUCCGUAAUCGCAGUAGCUAACCGACAACGUAUCCUUAAAAACUAGCUUAAUCUUACUGGUCUAUAAAAGAUAGGGGAGUAUCCCACUCAUCAACAGAUCCAAAUGAGGGGGAGGAAAGUGAAGAAGAAAAAGGAUAAUUCAAAGAAUGCCUAUUCAUCUAACGCUAGAAAGGGCUCAUGGCUUUUCCUAAUGAUACCUGUCUAUCUUUCGGUGUACUAUGAUUGAGCUCUGAGACAGCUUCAUCUUAUAGGGAAAGAAUAGUUUAUAGUGAUGGUUCGUUGAUUGAGGUUUAGUAAGGUCAGUAGUUCCAUCGACAGAGGACUGAAGUCCAGUGGUGAGAUUACGAGAAGGAGGGUGUGAAGAAAGAACUUCCGAUAAUGAAAGGAAAGCCCUUUUAGUAGUUGAUGAAACUAUAGCACGAAAAGCUACCUCCUCUUCCUUGAGGAGCACAAUAGAGCGAACAUUUUCCAUGUGAGAGAAAGAGUUCACGCUUUUGGUUUUUUUCCUUUAGGCUGCUUUUGCCUUGUGAAAUAUCGGGACCAGAAAAAAAACCCGUGCUCAAAAUAUUAAUAGGAAUAUAAGGUUAACAGCCGACCGUUCCACCACUGAGCUACUGAGGAACAAUGGGAGAUUAGAUCUCAUCGAGUUCAAUUCUUGUUCUCAACCCCUACCUUUGAGUGCAGUUUGAACUAUUGAUUUACGUAAUUGGAAGUAACCAAUUAGGUUUACGACGAAACCUAGAAAUCGAUCACUGAUCCAAUUUAAGUACCUCUACAGGAUAGACGUCAACAGAAAGCUGAAGAGUAAUGGCAGCAAGUGAUUGAGUUCAGUAGUUCCUCAUAUAAAAUUAUUGACUCUAGAGGAAUAGUAAUAUGGAGAAGACAAAAUUGUUUCAAACACCGACAGAACCGGAAGCACCCCUUCUUUCAAAGAGAGGAGGACGGAGUAUUCACAUUUCAAAUAACAUGCAUUGGAACACUCACCAAUCAAUUGCAACCAUUCACUUUAACCCUGGUUCAUCCUCUUGAACUCUCUCGAGUCCUAUGGUCAUAUACUAUAUUAAAAGACUAGCAAUACAAAGCCAAAAUACAUGAAGAAAUUGAGGUUUCAAAAUGUCAUUUAGAAAAUGCAUCAAUUUACAAGUUUUAUUCCCGUAUAACCUAUUAAAAUAUAAUAUUUUCUUGUUGCAAUUGAGGAGAAACCUCAUGUGUUUACUAAAUCAACGUUACAAAAGUCAUUUGGAGCACAAGAGCAUCGAUUAUAGUCAAACGUUUGAAGAAAUUAGAACAAGACUUUCAAAAUACAAAGUUGAAAAUUGUUAGACCUAAAAUGAUUUGAAGAAACUCAUUUCCUUUCAUUUAAACCUCAAUUUCACUCAUAAAACCAAGAUCAAAAUGGUUGAAUAACUCCAACUUAAAGUUGAAAAUGGAAGCAAGAACAAGUUUAGAAAACAGAAUUUUCUCUAGUUUUGCGCGACACCGUUUGAAAAUUGUAUCGCAAGCUUCUUAGAAGACAUAUUUCCCAGAAGACAUAUUUGCAAGAUUCUAUCCAUAAAUCAGUCAAAUUCCAGUGUCGAGUUGCUACUUCAUCAAGUACAAAAACAAAGUAAGCGUGAAAAUUCAGUUAAAUUUGAAAAAUCAUAGAUAUUUAUAGGAAUUGAUAAAAAUUCUGAAAUUUUCAUGGUAUAAAGUAUUUUGAAUCUAGUUUCAAAUGCAACAAAUGGAACUCAAUUUGAAUUUUUUUACACCAAAAUAUAACAGAUUUUCCAAGACUGCUCAGAGCCUCCUGCGAAACAAAAUUUUCAGCAACACUUAACUCAACCUUCCCACUUAAGCUCAUGAUUUUGGUUCAAAUCCAACUCACAAUCAAAGUUUAAUGUCCAACAUAAUUUGUGGAGCAAGAUUUCCCCCAAAAUUUCUUGAAAAUAAGGGCUAAUAGCACUCAAAAGUUUCGGCCGUCAAGAAAUUUUCAAAAUAGAAUUUUUUCACUAAAAUUUGCAGCAAAAUCCAACCAAGAUUCAAGCUUUCCAAGAAAUAUAUACACAAGCUACAACAUCAAGCUUUAAAACACCAAAAUCUACCAUAAACAUUCAUCAUAAAUGUGAGGACCCGAAAAUUUUCUUAUUUUAUCUUAUUUUAUUGGCUUAUUUACUUAAUUAUUCAACCAUCUUCUCCGAAUAAUUUAUUUCAAUCAUUUUAAAUUCAUUUAUAUGGAAUGAGGUCUCACUUAUAUUUUAAAAAGUCCCGUUAGCAAAUUUAAUUUUUCGGAGACUCGUUUAGUAAGAAAUAGCGAAUACACGUUUUUUGAGGCAAUAUUCGAUCCGAGAGUGCAAUGAUCUUGGAGAUUUGAGGACUCCUAUUUUUAUUCUUAAUUUAGUUAUUUUAUAAGUUAUUUGCCCUAGAGUUAGUUAAUUAUAUUUUAGUUGCAUGAAUUACUCUUAAAUUUCGUUUUAUCGCGCGCGUCGAAAGUUCUUGUAAGUCGUGUCGGUAUGACUAAUUGGAGAUUUGAAGUUUUAAUAUUAGACUCGUAAGUAUGAGUAAUUAAAGUGUUAGAGGAGUUACCUCGAAGGUUUAGUGUACAAGUGCAACAAACAAGAGAGAAAAGUGGUAAUGCACGUCACUAUUCGCGACUAUUUGAGAGUUGACUUUUGCACACCUUUAACUUAGCUUGUUCAACACAAUUCUUCCACAAAUUUUAGACCCAAGAAACUCCCCUCACCUCACUCUUUCAGCCAACCAAGAAAGAAAAGAAACAAGAAGAGAAAGCUCCAAACUUUUGCUUCCAUUUCACUUGAAAAUCCUCACCCAACUCACAAAACCUUUGGAGAUUAGUUCUAGUUUGGAGAAAGACAACAUCUUGUGGAUUUUCUUGGGGUAAUUUCGGUGGAGAAAUCUGAUUUUUCAUCUAGGGUUAGAGGUAACCCUUUAACUCUUCUAAUCUUUCCAUGUUCUUUAAGAAUCAUGGUUAGUUUCGCAUGGGUUUACAACCCUAAGCAAGAAAUAGGUUAGAGGACUUGAGAAAAAUCAUUUAUCUUGCUUUAAUCUCUAGGCUAGCAGUCUUGAGGUGGAUUAUAGGUAGCUGACUUGAGGUGUAAUUAUUUGAUUAUGGUUGUUUAUAUGUUGUAUGAGAUGAUUACGGUUAGAAAGUGGAGAGAAAGUUGGAAAACUUGUCGAGAGUAAGCUGGCCGAAUUUCUGGCCAUGUUGUUCUGUAUUAUUUUUGAAAUUUUGAUGCUUGGUUGACUGUGAAAUUGAUGGAUAUAUGUUGUAUAUUGUGUGUACAAAGUGCCUUUCGAAAAUCAUUUUAUUUGGUUGCACAAAACUAGAGUUUUCAAAAUUGGAAGAAAUCUGGAAAUGGUGAUCAGGGCAGCUUAACAGUAAUCCUUUGUUCGAACAUAUCUCUUUAUACAAAAGUCAAAAUUGAGUGCUAUUUGUGGCAUUUAAAACUAUACAUUCAUAGCUUUCUAACGGUAUAAAAAUCACUUGCUAAUUCAUCUUGAGUCAACCGUAGUGAUUCGGCAAAUUUGGCUGUCCUGUUGUGACUGUCUAUCCGAGAGAAACUGAGAUGCUGCAUUUUGUGGCUCGAAGUUCUCUCAGUUGUAAAAAAUUUUUACAAUGAUUCCUUCUGAUGAAUUCUGGCAUUUUGAAUCUAGUUUCCAACGCCAUAAACCAUUCUUAAUUUGAGUUUGUAUUGAGUGAGAUGUGGUCUGAUUUCGAAAGUGCAACAAGGUUGAAAACUAGAAAGUUUUUCCCUUCUUGCUGACCGAAUAGUCAGGUUUAUUUUGGGAUGUGUUGUUUCGAAAAUUUUGAUGUCAAUUACCCAUCAAUUGCUCAUUAAAUGUUUCUGAAACCUUUGUCUCAAAAAUGGAGUGAGUUGGGGCUGAUUUCAUUGCACCAAACUUUUGAAAAGAAAGAAAGGGUCGAGUUGGCAAAUUAGCUUUGAAAAUUUCCCAAACUUUGGUCAUUUUAUUAACUGUCUUCCCGUAUGAUUUUUUACCUGAAUUUUGAUAGAGAAGUCGUCCAUAUAUGGAAGUUUAAGUAUACCAAAUUUGGUGUAAUUUCAAUACCAUUUCGAUACUCAAAUAGUGCCCCAAAGAUUGCUCUUCAAAUAGGGGUGUGCAAAAUCGAAAAAUUCCGAUUUACCGACUGAAUUCGAAUUCAGUAAUUCGGAAUGAAAAUCGAAAUUUCGAUUUCGAAUUCGUCGAAUUCGGUAACGAGAUUUUUCAAAUCGGAAAUUCUGAUUUCGAAUUCACAACUCGAAAUCGAAAUCAGAAUUUCUAUUUCGAUUUCAAAUAUGUAUUUCAUAUAUAUAUAUACAAUAUAUAAUAUAACAUUUAUAUUAUAAUAAUAAUUUUUAUAUUCAUAAAUUCGGUGAAAUCGGAAUUCCUAUUUCGAUUUCAAUUUUCUUUUUCACACAUAUAUAUAUAAUAUUUUUUAUAUAUAUGUAAUAUAAUAUUUAUAUAAUAAUAAUAAUAAUUUUUAUAUUCAUGAAUUCGGUGAAAUCGGAAUUUAUCAAAUUUCGAAUUGAAUUCGGAACGAAUUCGAAUUCGAAAUUGGUGAAUUCGAAAUCGAAAUCGAUCGAAAAUUCUGAUACCAAAAUUCCAAAAAAUUCCGAUUUCAAAGUUCCAAAUUACCGAUUUCGAUUUCGAUUCACACCCCUAUCUUCAAAUCUGGAAAUUUACUGAACAGGCCGUGAAAAUGAACCAAAUUUAAACUGUUAUAUAUUGAUGUUCAAGACUCCAAAUUUAGUUCCGUUUGUUGUAUUUGAAACUUUGUAUGGAACUCUCAUUGUGUUACAAAUUUCAAAGGCUGAUUCACUUUCUGUGAAUUUUGCCGAAUUUCCAAACAUCGCUGAAAACCAAGACUGGUUCUGUCUUACCUUCUUGAAUUAGCAACUUUGAACUGAAAAAUGAAUGCUUUUGGUUUGGAAUCUUGGAAAAGUGUCUUCUAGAAACUUUUAGUGUCCUGAAUCUAGUUUCCAACGAUAUAAAGUUUUCUAUUUUUGAACAUACUAAACUCAAGAUCUGAUUUUCCAAAGAUCGUCACACAAAGCUGAAAAUUUCUAAUUCCAUGGGAAAAGGACUUUUGAGAACUUUUCACUUUCUUCGAUAUUGAUGGAUCAUUUUGAACUUGGUUUCAUGAAUGUUACAAGUUUCUCUUGUUACUUUAAUUCCUUACUUUUCAAUCUCGAUUUUUGAGGAAAUUAAAGCUCUUCUAAGACAUUGUCUUAAAUUUUUAAGUGAGUAUACUUUCUUCCUUGUAUGUUACGUGGUCGUGAGUAUAUGUGAGUGAUGUUUAGUCACUAUUUCUUCAGAUGCUCAAGGAGAUUUCGAAGGGAAUCUUGAUGCAGACACCUAAAGUUUUGUUUACUCACUUAUUUUGAAUCGGCGAGUGUCUAGUGUUUGAUUCGUUGUUAAACAUGUGAAUUGCUUCUUGCCAAUUAUAUGAUUUGGAAUCGUCGAGACAAGUGUGUACUUUAUCGCACUCGUUCUCUUUCACAUGAAAUUAUAUUCGAAUUUUGCUAUGUGAAUCGAUAUUCGACUCGUGAAAAGUGUUGUGGUUGUGAUUCGCAUUUGUAAUUCGUAUUUGAAAUCGUCGAUUGGAGCAUUGUCUCAUCGACUUAUAUUCAUAUUUGACUUAUAUAAGUAUUCGGGGGACGCCCAAAUUCACAGGCUAACCUUGUGACUCGAGCCGGUAUACGCUUGGUCGAGAAGUUUGGUGAACUAUGAGAUAUUUGUAAAGCUUGAUCUAUUUGAGAAAUCUCGCUUGGCAUACUCGAGUAAUAUCGCCUUUUAAAAUGAUGAGCGGGCUCGAAAUAGAGGGUAUAAUGAUGAACGGGAUUUGUGAAGUAAAGUGGUGUUCUAUGGACUAAAUAUACCUACCCGGUUGAUGGAGUGUCAUCACGUAGAGAUAUGCGAUCGAAACUCGGCAAAGCAAGUGGAACCUAUCUCCUGAGAGCUCCUGUAUCCUUAUUGAGUGUGUUUUAUUUCAAAUUGUGAAUUACUUGAAUGUUAUAACUUUAUUUCUCGUAUAAGUGCUAUUGUUAUUUGAACUAUGUGUUUGCAUGUUUUUCUUGGCCUCACUGAGCGUUUCACUCACCCCAUUAGUUUUGUUUUCCUUAACAGGAGCUGAAAUGGAAAGAAUUAUGGAGAGGCCGACUGGAUGGCCCUUUUGAUUAGAAGUUUGGAUGUAAUUGAUGAGACGACUUUUGGAGGUUGUAUAUUUUGAGGAAAGUUGAUGUACUUUUGGUAACUUACGAUGUAAGGUUUGAAUGUUCCAUUAAAGAAGCGACUUUUCUUCACUUCGACUUAUAUUAUUUGGUUAUUUAUCCUUGAGUUUGAAUUGGAUUUGUAUCGAGCCCUGGCGAGAGUUAGGCAGGCGUCCCGCCGAUACCCUUUGGUUCACCUUAAGGAGAAGUGGGGCGUUACAAUAAAAGCACAAGAAUGAAUCUCAAGUCAUCUACCUAGCUUGCCAUAAAAAUAUAAGGAAUUUUCCUCAAGUCAUCUACCUAAACCAAGGUUCCAGCAAAACCCAUCAACAACCCAUCAAAGAUUCAAUUUUUCUAACUACAAGUCUACCAGAAAUUUGAAGAAAAAAGAGGGCUUCAAGGCAAUACCUCUCCUAGCAAUUUCAAUCAAGCAACAAUUCCAAGUUUCCUCCAAGAGUUGCUCCCAAGCAAGACUUUCUUCCAAACUCAAGCAAGAUUCCCAGAAUCAUCCAAAGUUGGGGAAGAUUUGAAGCAAAAAUGGAGGAAAAAAAUUGAGCUUUUCUUCUCUUUUUUUUAGCUCUCGGCCCUCUCUCUCUCCUUUCCUCUUGAUUUUGGUUGUUUUAUUUUUUUUUAAGGCAAGAAAAGAAAGAUUAAAUGAUAAGAAAACUUGGUCAAAGGUCUCCCUUAACUCCCAUGGUAACACUUGUCGCCUUCUAGAGUUCUUUAGCUCCAAGUGUCCCAACAGUUAUCACCUUCUAGAGAUCUCUAGCUCCAAGUGUCCCAAUUCUCUCUCUUAUUGCACUAAAGUCCUCCUUUUUUUUCCAAAGGUUCCUUUUUACGCCCCACUACAAAAGAAAUUUUCAUUUUAUCCCACACAUUAAUUUUCACAUGUAAAAUUUAAUAAAAGCAUUAAGGCAAAAUCAUCAUCAAAUCAAUAAAUAACCAAAUAGAUGACUUAAUAAAUAAAGUACUAUAUGGUUAAACUAGAUAAAUUAGCAAAUUUCUAGGUUCUCACAAAAUUGACUUUUAACAUCUUUUCAUAUGCCAACCAAAACAAUCAAUUCAUUCGGAUUUUAUCCUCAUUUUGUUAGGUCAAAUGUCUCUUGUCAUUUCAGUUAACCAAAUUUUCAAAUUAUUUUUCAAUCGAAUUUCAGUAAAUUGAUCGGAUCCAUCAAGUAUUAUUGUAUGGUGCCUACACUAGAGAAUUGCAUUUUACAUAUUAGGCCAACUUUUAGCAUAAAAAGGCUCUCCCAUAAGACAUGCAUACCGAUUUUACAAUUUUACUUAUUAAUUCUGGGUAUUUUUCUUUUCUUUUUUCCCCUCCUUUGCAUUUAUAAAAGAUGUUUCAAUAAGGUAAAAUAUUUUUUCUAUAUCUGAUAACAAUUUUGGUUUGAUAAAUUUUAAAAAUUACAAAUAUUAUUUGAUUUUUGGACAGAUCCUGCAAUGUAAAAAUAUGAAGAAUCCAACUAAAAGCGCUAGUCUAAAGCGUCUAAGAGAUUUCAUGAUAUAGUUGUUCAUUAAAAAAAAAUCUCUUGAUUUGUUGUUUCUAACACAUUUUGUCUUAAAGUAAGAAAAGAGAAAGUAUGUGUACGUAUGAAAGGGAACCCUUUAAAAAAAAUUUCUUUUCUCAUUUGUAUACUAGUUGAGCCAAAAAAAAAUUUUUAAACAUUUGCGAUAAUAAAUUUUUUCAUUUAAACAAUCAUUGUUUUGUAUAAUCAUGUAUAUUUCAUUAUUUAUUUGCUCGUUGGGAGACUUUGUGAUGGACUUUAAGAAAUAAGGCUAAAUUGAAAUUCCUAAUCUCUUGCAUGAAAUUUACAAGUGUGUGUUUAGCUUUCUAAAAUUUUUGCAUGCUCUAGAGAGCGCUCGAAAUCAAAAGAAAUCCCUCAAACUUGUCAAUUUGUCUUGAAAGACUAACCACGAUACUUUUUCUCUUUUAUUUUUGCUAUUUUUUUCAAUGUUAUCAAACCUUCAGAAUCAGUCACCUUGAUUGACACACUUUAAAAUGAAUCAGAUUCAAUCUACAUCUAGUUGAAAGCAAAAAUGUCAUUACUCUUAGUUGUUUUGAGUAUUUGGAAUGAUACUUUAUGUGUUCGUUUUUCUAUUUAUAGAGAUUUUAUCAUUUGUUCUUUCAUUUGAACUAUCAAAAAUACAAUUUCAUUUCAAAUAAGAGCCUUAGUGACAUAACCCUACAUUGAAAAAAUUUUCAAAUGUCAAAAGGGAAUAAAUUUUCCCCAAUGAGCUAUUCUUUACUUUAGCUGUCAUUUGAAGUAAGAAUGAUACUGUGGUCAUCAUUUCUACUAUCUAAACACUAUUUAUCCUUUGCAUCCCCAUUUAAGUUUAAAUUGGUGAUUCGGUUCAAAAGAACUCAUGAUCACACCCCACAUUAGAGAAUUUUCAAAAAUAGCAAAGAUGCUAAAAUUUUGAAAGGAACAUGAAGUAUUCAAAAAAAAAAAAAAAGAAGCGGCAUCUAUAUUCUAAAAGUUAAGGAGCUUUCGAUUCUAUCAUUUAUAUUUGGGAUUACGGUAUUGGCAAAAAAAAAGGGGAAACAGAAAAAAAGGGAAAAUGCGAAGAAAAAAAAAGAAAAGAAAAUGAAAAGAUGCAAAGAGGUUCAAUGCUGAAAUCCCUCUAGUGAUUAAUGAUAACAGUUAAAAUAGAAUCCAAGAUCUUUGAUCCCAAAACUGGGGCAAUUUUGGGAAGGAAAGCAAUCUUAAGUGCAAUGUCCUUCAAAAUCUUGUUUCUUUUAGCUAUCGUUGUCAAGUCACAUUACAAGCUUAUAAAGUCCAUUGUUGACUUAUCUUUCAUGACAACUUGAAAUAAAAAUCGUGCCUCUAAGGGAUCUACCAAUCAUUCGUGAUCACAAGAUCAUAACCUGUUUCAUCGUGUUUAUCUAUUUCUUUUACUCAUAUAUUAUAAGUCUAUAAAUCUUAUAUAUUGACUAAGUUUUCAUAAAAUGUAAAAGUGAUAAACUAUUUGCUAUCACCAAGAUGUGGUAUUAAAUGGGUUAGAUGCAAUAUGUGCACAAAAUCGAGACAAAUCUUGAUGAACCAUUUUUAACCAUUAUUUCUCUUAACCACCUGAAAAUUAGAAAUAAUACGCUUGUUUGGUCCUAAAGGAUGAGUUAACGAGAAAAAGUGAUCAUUUUCCCUAAAACACAGAUCCUAAAGUGAGGAAGAGAUCUUUUGCAAUUUGAUCUUGUUUUAAGAGAUUCAUCAUGAAGUCUUCUACAUAUGUUUAAAUGCAAUAUUUAAGUUUCUUCUUCAUUUGAAGAAUGCAAUUUCUAUUGUACAUCAAUCCACAUUGCAUGUUAGUAUGUGAUUAUUUUUUAAAUUUUAGGAAACACAGUUUUCUUGUUUUGUCAAAAUAAAUGGAAAGUCAUCCAAACAAAAUUUUUACAAUUAAAACAACUCCAAAUUGGGGCAAAUUUUUGUAAUACAUUUGUGAGAUUUCGCCCAAUAGACCCAAAUUGUGGCAAAUUUUUGUAAUACAUUUGUGAGAUUUCACCCAAGAAUCAAGUAAUAUACCUUCGAAUCUAUUGUUUAAAAUUCGACUUUGAUAAGACCAGACUUUUCAUGAGUAAUAAUUGCAUCUUUUUUUUCAAAAUGAAGUAAAUUUUUUUUUGUGAAAAUUCAAGUGCAAAUUGUAUUUUGGCAAAUUCCCUCUGUGUAGCACAAAUAUGGUUGAGAUCGGUGAAAUAGCGCAAGUCAAAAUCUUAAAAAUUUGAAUCUCAACCAUGAAUAAAAAAAAGGAGCAAUAAUGCUACAUUUGCAAAGUGGAGGACUAGCUUGUCCAUUGAGAAGAACUUACUUUAGCAACUAGUUUUGAAAAAAAAAAAAAGGAGGGUUUUCCUCCAAUUUUGCAAAUUUUGUUGUUGAACUUUUGGAGCAUUUUAUUUUGGAAUUGUGUUUCUAAGUUGAGGCAACAUUUUAUUCUCUCAUGCUUGGAAUGGAAAUGUUAACACCUGCCAAAAUUAAGAUCCCAUUCCUGCGCAUUUUGAUGAAAGCCCAACUGAAAGAAGCCAAAUCAGUCAAGAAGCCAUGAAUUAUUAUCUCCAAUUGAUAGAAAUGAGUUGAAUGCCAUUUGUCAUAGGCAAUAUUACCAACAAUGAAUGACUCAUGUUCAUAACAAGAAAGACAAAUCUCGCUUGUUUGAAGUGAGAGAUGAGGUUUUGAAGUGAAUACUUCCGGUUCAAGCAGAGGCUAAAGGAAAGUUUGCUCCAGCUUGGCAACGACCAUUCAUUGUUAAAGAGUGCUACUUGGAGGAGCACUUAUUCUCAUAGAGAUGGAUGGACAAAUUUUUUCUCAACCUAUCAAUUCAGACUUGUGCAAAAAAAAUUUCAAUUGAUUAUGAAAAUUUUCUUUUGAAAUUACUGCAAAAGAGGGGUUCAAGUCAGUCUUUCCUUCCCUUUUCAUUUGGACAUUUUAUCUUUAUUUUUUUUCUUUGACCUCUCAGAAUAACUUAUUCUUUUUGCUUGGUAGUCCUUUUAAGAUUGCAAGCCCUACAUUGGGGUAAAUUUUUAUUUCUUUGUUUCUAUUUUCAAAAAACAAAAAAAAAGAAGAAGAAAUAAAAAUAGAAAAAGAGUGAGUGAGCGCAAAAGAGAAGAAAAGAGAUACCCAAUUAGAAUUAAACCGGGGCAAAUUUUAGUUCUUAUCAACCUUACAUUGGAGCAAAUUUUGAAAAAUUGCGAUCUCGAAAUUUUCAAACCCAUUUUGUAAUAUAGCUUCAAACCCUAACCAUUUCUUUACACCUCACCGAACCCCAUUACAAAAGUAAAAUGUUAUCAACCUCCCCUUUUGUAAUAUUUUGAGGGAAAUUUUUUUAAUCAAUUGACAGAUGAUGUAAAUACACUUUCACCAAUUUUGCAAGGGAAGGAUUGUCUCACUGAUGCCAUCAAUUUUAAAACUUAUUUUUGAAUUGAUAGAGGUUGUCAUUAAAUUUAUUCAUUAGGUGAAAACCCAAAAGGGCGCCUCUUCAAAAAAGAAAAGAAAAGAAAAAAAAAGAAGAAAGAGAAAGCAAAAAAAAAAAGAAAAAGAAAAUGGGUAGGGGCAACUUUAAUGAAAAUCCGAAAAGGCACUAAGGUAGGGUUUUGAAGCACAAAGAGAGCCGUGAAUGAAAAACAGAGAGUCGAUUGUUGAAUAGUUGGUGAUUAUAUUCAUUUGGGUUUCUCUUUAUACUGAAACUCUUUUGACAACACUAAAUUUCAAAAAAAUGAUAUCAGAAGGGAUCAUAAAUGACGUUUCUCUCAUCAUAGACUGGCUGUUCAAAUUUAUAUAUGAGUCUCCAAAUCACUUUUAAUAAACUUUAUAAGAAUCGUUUUCUCAUUGAAAAUAAUUUUUACUCUAUUCUUGUUUCGUUGCAUUAAUAAUCUAGUUUAAAAUUUUUACAUGUUUUACCAAGAGACCAUCCCCGCAAUUUAUCGUAAUUGGUAUAUAGACAUGCAUGUCUCAUGGUAUAAACAUGGUUGGCUAAGUAAAGAUACUAGCAUAUCAAGAACAAGUUGCACAACAUUUCUAAAUUAAACUGUUUUUUUUUUCAACAUCUAAAAACUCAUUUUUACAUGGUUCUCAAGACUCGAGGAAUGACACGGUGGUGGCAUUAUAUUUUAUCACAGUUGUUUUCAUUUUCUUUUGCAAGAUUGGAUUACGCAAGCGGUCUGCCAAACCCUUUGAUUCGCCUUAGGGCAAAGGUGGAUCAUCACAUAUUUAUUGGAGUUGGGUUUUAUCCCACUAAACAUUUAUUUUGUUGAAUUUGGAUUUAAUCCCAUCAACCGUUUAUUUGUUGGGUUCGAAUUUUAUCCUACCAACCAUUUGUUUUGUUGGGUUUGGGUUUUAUCCCACCAACCAUUUAUUUUGUUGAGUUUUCCACCGACCGUUUUUUUUUAUAGGGUUUGGGUUUUAUCCCACGAACCAUUUAUUUUAUUGGAUUUGGAUUUUAUCCCACUAACCGUUUAUUUAUUGAGUUUGAAUUUUAUCCCGCCAACCCUUCAUUUUAUUGAAUUUGAAUUUUAUCCCACCUACUGUUUAUUUUGUUGGAUUUUGAUUUUAUCCCACCAACUUUUUAUUUGUUGGAUUUGGGUUUGGGUUUUAUCUCACCAACCUAUUAUUUGUUAGAUUAUUAUUUUAUCCUACCAACUUUUCAUUUGUUGAGGUUUGAUUUUAUCGGACCAACCUUUCAUUUGUUGGAUUUGGAUUUUAUACCAUCAACCUGCUAUUUGUUGGGAUUGGGUUUUUCCCACCAACAUUUUAUAUAUUGGAUUUGGAUUUUAUCCUACUAACCUUUUAUUUGUUCGGUUUAGUUUUAUUCCACCAACCUUUUAUUUGUUGAAAUUUGAUUUUAUCCCUUUUAUUUGUUGAAAUUUGAUUUUAUCCCACCACCAUUUUAUUUGUUGGAUUUGGAUUUUAUCCCAUCAAUAUUUUAUUUGUUGGGUUUGGGUUUUAUCCCUCCUGCCUAUUUAUUUGUUGGAUUUGGGUUUCAUCCCAUAACUCUUUAUUUGCUGGAUUUGAGUUUCAUCCCACAAACAUAUUAUUUAUUGGAUUUGGAUUUUAUCCCACCAACCCUUUAUUUAUUGGGUUUGAAUUUUACCUCACCAACUUUUAUUUGUUAGGUAUGUGUUUUAUCCCACCAACCUUUUAUUUGUUAGGUUUGAAUUUUAUCCUAUCGACCGAUUCAAAUGUUUACUAAUUUCAAUCUUGUUUAAAUGCUCAUUUUGUUUGUUUUGAUUCAGUUGCAACUGAAGUAGACAGGUAAGUAAUUUGAUAUCUACAUCUUUAUCUUGAAUUUCUUUGAAAUUUAAAUAAAGAGAGGCAUGUUGUAGACACCAAAUUUUUCUUAAUUUCAAGUAUGCUAUUUUUUAACUUAAAUUGCUUAAAUGAUUAUUUUAAUUUUUGAUUUGUAGGUUUGUGCAAAAAAAAAAAAUUUGUGACUACACGUGUGCAAUUUCCCUUCUUGUAACGAACCAAUAAUAAUACAAGAUAGCUGAAAAUUUUGGGCAGAUUUUUGGAUGGAUUUUUCCUCCUUUUUUUUUUUUUAAGUUUUGGAUUGUACAAGAACAACUCAUGACAUCCUAAAUUCUAUCUUUUAGUACCUACCAAAAAUUGAUCCAAGGGAGGGGAACGGGCACACAAUUCUAUUGGAUCCUAACCAUCAAUUCUAGACUUUAGAAUUUUUUGUUCCAAAAACUCCAACUCUCUCAAGAAAACCCCACACAUUUUCUCGGUUCCCUUUUCACUCACUCUCACAAUAUAACCCCAAACAACACAAAAAAAACAGCCAACUCCCCUAACUCUCUCAAACUCUCCCUUUUUUCUCACACACACAAGUUUUUUUCACAAACUAAACAAACAAAGGAAACAAAAGGACGGUUACGGCUUGAAAAACUUUAUCAAAAUGUGAACCGAGGAACUACUACUUUCAUUGAGGUAUUUUCUAGCUUUUUAAUCAUAUUACAUGCAUGUUUCAUUGCUUAUUUUUCUCUUGCUUUUGCUGGUUUGUUGUUGUGAUUUUGGAAAAGUCAUAGAACAAGAUUAAGGGAAGAUAAAUGGGUUUUGUUUAUGUAUAUAAAUUGUUUGAACAAACGCCAAAGGAAAAAACCAAAUUAAGUUAGGUUGUUUCUUAUUCAUUUAAAGUCAUAGUUGCACUUUAGAAUUCGAAAGGGUUGUUUUGGUGUGACUUUUACAAAUUUUAGAGGUGAUUAGAGUGGUUUUAAAAAAAAAAAAAAAACUGGGCUGUUUUUCAACAAUUUAGUCACUUUUGGUUCGUUUUUUGUAAAAAUUAAGGUCGGAAACGGAUUCCAUGCAAAAAAUCAAGUGGGGAGGUAUUUUGGUGAAUUUUCAUGAUCGGAGAGAUCGCCAGCGGCCCGCGAUGGCGGCGCCGCCAGCUCUGAGGCUUCAAUCUGCCGAAGAAGAUCAAAGAAAGGAAAGAAGAAGAAGAGAAAGGAAAGAAAGAAAAAGAAGGAAAAAGAAAAGAAAGAAAAAAGAGGGAAAAGAGAAAAAAUAAAGGGUUGGGUUUUUAUCUAGGGUAAAUUCCACUUUACCCCCCUGUGGUUUAGCGUUUUUUCACAUAACCCCCCUAUGGUUUCAAAAGCUAUACAUAACCCCCUCAUGGUUUGGAUUAAAGUGUCAAAGUAACAGAAAUAGUCACUCGUAACGGAACUUCUAAAAAUGUCGAAAUUACCCUUAUAAAUACAUGACACAUUAACCCCCUAUGAUUUUUAUAUUUUACCAUAUAACCCCCUUAUGGUUUAAUACUUUACCAUAUAACCCCCUUAUGCUUUUCAAAAUAUACACAUAACCCCCUUGGUUAAUACAUAAAUUUCAACCUUACAUAACGGUAUUUUUGACAUUUUAGGUGACGCCGUUACGAGUGACCAUUUCCGUUACUUUGACACUUUAAUCCAAACCAUGAGGGGGUUAUGUAUAGCUUUUGAAACCACAGGGGGGUUAUGUGAAAAAACGCUAAACCACAGGGGGGUAAAGUGGAGUUUGCCCUUUUAUCUAUUUGUAGUUGAGUUUAAGAGUGGGCUGGUAUUGUUUUUUUUACUUUGGGUUUUGUCUGGGCUUUAGAGUUAAGCCAAAUAUUUUUAUAAUAUCUAAGUUUGUUUAAAUUUCUUUAAGUUUGUUUGUUUGUUUGUUUUUUUGGAUUAGAUUGCGUCAAUUUAUUUGGGCUGAAGUGUUGCGGCCCAAAAUACAUAAAAAUAGCCCAAUGUUUGUUUUUUGUGAAAUCAGAAUCCACAUUUUGCAAUUCGGUCCUUGAUUUUUCAAGUAAUUUCACUGUGGCUCUAAAUUUUUGAAUUUCUUUCACUUAGAUCCUUAAUUUAAUUGUACUUUGGUCCUUAAACUUUAUCUUUUUAUUCAAUUUUGACCCCUAAUUUUUUCAAUAAGUAUAAUUUGACCUCAAUAACUUUUCCAAUUUUGCAAUUAGGUCCCUUAGCUUGAUUAUUUCUUAAUUACAAUUGCUUAUCUUCUUUAAUUGUUAAUCUUGCUUCAUUUAAAUAUAUUUAAUUUACAAAUUUUAGGGAUUUUAUGUUUAUAUUUUUUUAUAAUAAUAAAGUGAAUUUACUAUAUGUUUACAUUUUCUUUUAAAUUAUUGUUUAAAUUGGUGCCUUGACUACUUUAUUGGAUUUGGAGUAUAAAUAGGGCAAUUAUACCUCAUUUAACCACUACUUCAGGGGAGGCAUUUUCUAUUAUUAUUUUAAGUUUCUUUGAUGUGCUCCUAUGUAUUUUUUAUGUGUGAUUGCACAUUUUGAGUGUUUUUUCUUUUAUUUACUCAUCUUAUUCAUUUUAAAUUUUUAUUUAUUUUAUUCAAUUUUUGAUGAUUAUUUGGGAGAUAUUUAAAUACCAAAUUGUAAUAGAUAGGUGUCUAAGAAACAUAUUUAGUUAGGCAAUGUUAUAGAUAGAUUUUAUUUUUGCCAAGAUUGUAAUUGUUUAGAUAAAUGUAAUAAAUAGGUUUACGAUUUCCAAAAAUUCCCCUUCUAGAUUGUACGUAGGGCUCCCAAUGUAAUAGUUAAUUUUUGUUUGCUUGUAUGCUCGUGUGCUCAUGUGUUUAUAUGUUUAUUCGCUUUCUUUAGGUUUUUUGCAUCUAGAUAUUAUGUCUAUGUGUUAUGUGUCUUAUUUGUUUUAUGUCUUUAUUUGAUUUAAUUAUGUUUUAUUUAUUUAUAAUAAAUGCAUGACGAUAUCACACUAGUCCAAUACUAGUUGCGACCUUUCUUCUCGAUUUCUCACUAGUCCAACGCUAGUGAGAGCUUGUAGAAAUGGGUUAGUCCAAUACUAGAUCUUUUAGACCAUUUUCACGCUAAUUUCAUGCUUUGGUGUGACAUUUAUUGCAUUUCAUGCAUUUUUUCCUAUUUUUAGGAUAUUUUUAUCAUUAGCAUGAUUUUUUCCUACUAUUAUUCUCUUAUCCUCUAUAUGUUUGGACCAUAUCGUUUAGAAUUGCAUUUUAUUUUAGGAAAUUAGAAAUAGGUUAGUCUAUUUGGUUGACUAGGUUAGAAAAGUCAUGCUUCAAAUAUGAAAAAUGAACGAGUAUGAUUUUUUAACCUUAGUACGCUCUCAUCCCCUCUGUAAGAAGAAAAUUGAGUCACGAAUUUUAGUUUUCCGUACCCGUUAUACUACAUUCCCCUCUCCUAGGUCAUGUAUAUUUGCCUAUAUAUUACAAUUGCCUUUUUGUGUCUCAUCUUUUGCAUUUUUGUAACAUCUUCAAAGAAUCAUUUUUGGGUAUUACAAUUAAUGUGAUUUGCACCAAUUAAAUUUUGAAAAGACAUUUCAUCUCUCUCAAUACCCCCUAGAUCUAGGUUUGCAUUCAUAUAGAAACAUCCAAAUGUGAUAAGUUUUAUAAGUUAGAUUAGGAAAAAUUUCGAUUAAACCUCGCAACUAACCUUUGUUAGGUUGAAAGGUACCUUAGAUUUGAACCUAUCAAAUCUUUGCCUUUCCUUUUUUUAAUCGUAACUCCCGAAUUCUUUUCUUUUGUUUUCAAAGUCCUGGAGUUGUCUGAAAAGAGUUUUAUCCAUUUUUUAUUUAAAAUAUAUUUUUGGUGAUUUGGUACACCUAAACUCAAUAUCAAAUGGCGACUCUACUUUUUUUUUCUAAAAAUCCUUUUAGACUAUUAUUUUGGACUCAAACCGUCACAUUUUCUAAAUCCUAUUUUAGGCCCCUUUUUCUUUAUUUAUUUUCUAAAAUAAAAAACUCAUUUUAAAUACCACUUUCUCUUUUAUUUUUUUUUUUCAAAAAUGGGGCACUACAUAUCAUUUUUUUCAUUUUACCAAGGUGAUUAUCCUCUAAUUGUUUACCAUUUCUAAAAGUGAUUGCAUUCACAUGUUCUCUAGGAUUCACCUCGAUUUUACUUGAAAAUUCACCCGAUUGUCUCAAAUUAAUAGAAUUAGCAAUAUUACCUGCCCCUUGCAUAUCCCUAAUCAAAAUCAUCAUAUUGUUCAUGUUCAUUUUAAUAUCAUCAAAUCUUUCUUUUGUAUCAUGAAUAUUGUUUUCAAAUUUAGCCUCCAAAGUUGAAAAUCGUGACUCAAGUGGUCUUGUUGGAAAACUGAGUGGAUUGAUAGAUUUUUGAGAAUUUGAUUAGUCUCUCCACCCUAAUUUUGGAUGAUUCUUCCAACCGGAGUUGUAAGUGUUUGAAAAAGGGUUAUUUUGAAGCGGCCGAUUAUAGCUGUUAACAUUAUGAAUUUGCUCCACAUGAAAACAAUUAGCACUAUCAUGAUUACCAUCACAUAUUGAACAAUAAGCAACACUUACAUGAGAAUUUGAACAAUUUUUUCCUUGUUUACUUAACAAACUCUCAACGUUAUCCAUUCGAGAAUUAAACAUGUUUUCUAAUUUGGCACUUAAAAAAUUGAGAGUGUCAAUUUCAUGUGUACCGGUUGCUCUUCUUGCAUUAAUUCUUUUAUUUGCCUAUUGAUAGUUGUUAGGGGUCAUUUCCUCUAUUAAAAUUUGAGCAUGCUCAGUUGAUUUUUUCAUUAAAGCACUAUCAACAACGGCAUCUAUGUUGAUCUUGGUUGGGUAGUUGAAUCCAUUAUAAAAAGUUUGAACAACCAACUAAUUGGGGAGACCAUGGCGGGGACAUCUUCUUUGAAGAUCUUUGAAUCUCUCCCAAUAUUCAUAUAACGACUCGCUUUAUAUUAAGUAAAACCUAUGAUAUCUAUACAUAGUUUAGCCAUUUUUUCGAGAGAAAAAUAUAUAUUUAAGAUUGUUUUUGUCAACUCACCUCAAUAAGUGAAAGUAUUAGGUGAAUAAGAGUUAAUCUAUACCUUCACUUUAUUACAGAGUAAAAAGGAAACAACUUUAACUUAAUUGUGACAGGUGUCGGGCCUGUGUAAUAAUAAAUAUCUGCUCAAAUAAAGUAUGAAUUUUGUAUAUAGUGGUAAGUAGGGUCGAAUCCAUAGGGACUGGGGGAUUUUGUUUCUUCUAGAAUUUAGAGUAUCGGGGACUUUUAUAAAAAUAUCAAAUUAACUAAUCAACUAAAUAAAAGCAACUCACGAAAAUAAAUAGGAAUUAAUCAAUAAUAGAUACGACUCUAGCUAAAGAUGCAACAUCUCAGACACGGUCCAUUCAACUGAUCAUAGAUACAAAGAUAAUUCAAUUACUCAUUAAUAGAUUGAUUAUAGUUGCCAUACACACGAUAAACAACCAAUUUUUUCUUACUUUUUCGAUAGCCAAGAUACGAUUGUUGAUUUUUUUCCCUAAUCAAGGAACAAUUCUAGGUACGACCGUAGGAUUUAAUUCCUCAAUUGCAUUAAAAAUUAGAAAAAUCCAACUCUAACCAACAAACAUGCUAUGAGAUUCGUUUAAAUUAGAUCAUACAUUUCCCUAACAUGGGACCAAUCACGCUAGUCACCACUGGUAAAAAUCAAUUAAAUAAUUACGGAUUUAAUCAAUUAAUCUAGCCAUAGAAUAUUAGGUUAAUUCGAAUAUCGGACUCUUGACAUUCAAAUAACAAAACAAUUAUAAGAAGUUAAACUAGAAAAUGUACAAAUACCAAUGAGUAAAAGAAAUAAAUAAAAUUAAUUCGAUCUGACAGAUGUUUGGAACCGUGACUUCAAAUCGAUCCUUGACUAGAAAAAGAAAUUCAACUACUUUCUAUUGAGAAUAACCCACAUAAUUCCAUUGAUGAGAAUUGCAUGAAGUUCUACAAUGAAAAGAACAAAACAAAGGGAAAGAAAAACGAAAGGAAGCCAAGCGGCCCUUGGUUGUAACUACUCACAAUCCCAUGUCUAUUCUAAUCCUUAUUCUGUUUCCUAUCAAGUCCUAAUAUUUCAGCCAUCCAUUGGCCAAUCAAAAAUAGAAUUAUAAUUACAAAAGGAAAUUUCUCCAACUAAUGCUAAUUGUUCCCUAAUAAAAUAUCUAAAAAAUGGUAAUUUCCUAGUCUUCCGCCAAUAAUCGAUGUAGACUGCAUCUUGAAUUGGGAAACUCUUGAAAAAUCACCUCUUUUAUCACUUUUUUCUCUACCUUCCUAUAAUUAGCACCAAAUAUCAAAUAUAAGUAGAAUCUAUCAAUUAAUACAAUAUUGGCUAAAAUAAAAGGAAAAAUAACCAUAAAUUGAAUGACAAUUUCAUACCUUAUCAAUGUUUCCCACACCUUAACCAUAUUUGUCCUCUAGUAUGAGAACAACAAAUCAUGCAAUCAAAUUCAAACAAUGGCUAUUGUUCGAAUAUUCUAUUGCUAAGAUACAAUUAAAACGCAUGUCAAACAUUAGUAGCAAGUUUCAAGAAAUAUCUCUCCAAUUAGCUUUCAAGAUCAAGGACUCUUCCAAUUUAUGAGAACUAAUCUAAGAAUAUAAAAUAUUCAACUAACAUCCAUCAUCAAAAUGGUUCAACUAUUAAGCAAAAUCUCAAUAUUAAAACUCAUAGAUCAGCAAACUAAUGUAAACCAUCUACAAUCUCGUACGUUUUUUUUUUGUUUUUUUUUUCAUGCUUAGCACAACCCUCCUUUUUUUCUCAAUUUGUUUUUCAAGGAAAAUGCUUAGUUCUUAGCCAUUCAAACCUUUUGACGCGAACUCCGACAUCUAUCAAAUGAAGGAGCCCGAUUACUCAACCCUCAUCGCUUAAAAUCACAUACUCAUAGCUAUCGUCGCUUUUUGACGAGAAAGUCAACACUUGUGGUGAAAACUUCUAGUUACUAGUUAACGAUAAGUAGCGGAGUAUAGCCAAAUACUAUUCAUAAAUAAGCACCAAAUUAAAAUUAAAAACCACACAAAUCCACUUCAUUUCUUAAACAUGGAGAACUAAAAUUAAUAGCUAAACCAAUUUGCACAAAAAAAUGCUAGACAAAUAUUUACAAUACUUAGAGAAGUUAACCAAAAAACACAAAAGUCAACAAAAUCUCAAAUAUUCAUCAAAGAGACAUCCUUAGAUUUAACUAUGUCAUACUUAACACCUUAGAGUAUAAAAAACUUAGCAAUAGAAAAUUUGAGACAUCUAACCAUUGUUAUAUCAGGAACAACCACAAAUAUGCACAAAGAUACACAAAAUUGGAUAAAAUUUGAAAAAGUAAAAUAAAAAAUUUCAACAAAAUUGCCUACACUUGCACUUUUUCAAUAUAUUACUCUCCCCCCACACCUAAAUAUUACAUUAUCCCUAAUAUAAUAAAUAAAGAAUCAAAAGAUGAAGUAAAAGAGAUAACGAAACUUCCCUAAAAACUGAGGAGGCCAGCAGACAGCUACAGGUGACGAGCAAAAGAUAUGUAGAGUUCGAUAGUGGCCAACCAAUCAUCCAGUUGAUGAACUUAUCCAUGCAAGUGUAGCAACUUGGCAUCGAGAGAUGAUGGUGGUGGAGGUGCGGAUGUAGACGAAAAUUGACAGAUCAUCGCUAUCAACUUAAAAAUUUCUGCUUUAAUGGCUUGAUGGCAAAGCUGAUAAAAUAAAGGUUAUGAUCGGCAGUCGAGAACGUCGGGUGGCUCACGAUGGAUGGGGAAGAAUCGCGUGUGAUGAGCAGCGAUAACAGCAAUCGAUGGGCAGCGAUGGAAUUUGAUGUCCUAAGGUUGCGGUCUUGUGGCUGGAAAAGGAAAGAAAGGAAGAAAAAGGAAAGAAAGAGAAGAAGAAAAGAGAAAGAAAGAAGAAAGAAAGAGAAAGAAAGAAAGAGAGAGAAAAAGAAAAGGGAAAAAGGAGAGGAAAAGGAAGAAAAAAGAAAGGAAAUUUUUUUUUGAUUUUUUUAACACUUUUCUAGGACAAGACGUGAGCACGUCCUGUUAGUAGAAACCCUUCUGACGAUGAAAUUGUUGAAUUAAAAGUUACCACGUGCCCUUUUGACAUAGGAACAUCAUAAUAGUCUAGACACUUCUGAUGAUGAAUUGGGAAAUUAGCUCAUUACCAUGUGUCCUUCUGACACGGGCACGUCAUGUUGGUGUAAAUGCUUCUAAUGGUGGAGUGUAUUUAUGCAUUACCACGUGCCUUCAAGAUGCAGGCAUGUGAGGACCUGAAAAUUUCUUUAUUUUCUAGUCAUUAUUUUAUUUUCUUGCAUACCAUUUCUAUACCUUUCUUUGUUGUAUUAACUUUUGAGUGAUAUUUAUAAGGGAAUUAAGUUAUUAAGACUUUUUUCCUGUACAACUUAGUCUAUGUGACGUUUGUAGUGUAUAUUGGACGUGGGACCCGCUAGUGUGAUUAAUUGUGAAGGUGUGUGUACUAAUUUUGGUGGUUAAGAAUAAGUUUUAGAUAAGAAAAAAAUGUGUGAUUAGAAGUAAUAAUAAUAAGUUAGUGAAUUGUGUCGCGCCCCAUUUUUAUAAGAAAAAUAAAUUAGUUUAGGAAAAUGAAUCUUUGAUUAAUUUUGAUUGAAAAAUGAGUUUUUGAUUUUUUAGAAAGUAAAGAAAAAUAUGGGUCUAAAUGGGACAUAAAAAUGCGACGAUUUUGACCCAAAAUAACAAUUUAAAAAGGGUUUUAAUGAAAAAAUCGGAGUCGCUACUUGGUAUCAAGUUAAGGUUUACCAAGUCACCUAAAAUUUUUUGAAUAAAAUUAUAGAAAAACCCUUGUAAACGACUCCUAAGUCUACGAAAAUCAGAGAAAGUGUUCGGGAGUCACAUUUGAUUAGAGGGAAGGCAAGGACGAAGUCCAAGGCACCCUCUCAAUCUAGCCAAGGCUAAUUGCGCGAUUUAGUCAAAAAUUUUCUUAUUUUACCCUCAAGAUUUAUCACAUUUGGAUGUACUAUAUGAAUGCAUACCCUAGACCUAGGAGGGUGUCGGGGAGUCAAAAUAUCUCUUCAAAAUUUAAUUGGUGCCAAUCACAUUAAUUGUAAUGUCCAAUAGUGACUCUUUGGAGAGGUCACGAAUAAUGCAAAAAUAUGAGAUUCUAAGAAAAGAAAAGGAAUAAAAUAAUAUAAAUACGAAUAUACAUGACCUACAGGAAUGCAUUAUGUCGGGUACGGGGGACUAAUGUUCAUGACUCAACUUUUCCUUUUAUAGAGGGAAUACGAGCGUGUUAAGGCUAAAAAGCCAAACUCAUCCAUAUCCCAUAUUCAAGGGAUUUUUCUUAUCUAAUAAUGCAAAUGUACUACCCUAACUCUAAUUCUUAAAUGAAAUGCAAGUCUAAUGUUAUGUAUCACACAUAGGGAUAUAUAAGGAAAUUUGGGAUAAUGGGUGUACGUAUAAAGGGAAUAUGGGAGGAAAAAUACAUAUAUAAGGGAAGUAUGGGAUAAGAGUUAUAUGUAUAGGGGAAAUAUGCAAAAAAUGACAAAAGACCCUAGAAAGUGAAAGAUGUGCAUGAUGUGAUGUAGUUAUACAAACAUGAUCUAGCGUAGGAGGCCCCUAAGGGUCUAGCGUUGGACUAACCCAUGUCUACAAAUUCUCACUAGCAUUGGACUAGUGAGAAAAUCGGAACAAAGAGCCACAACUAGCGUUGGACUAAUGUGGAUUCGAGAAAGGGGGCCACAACUAGCGUUGAAUUAGUGUGGUGACGACAUGCAUUUAUUACAAUCAAAUAAAUCAUGUAAGACCUAAUAAAAUCACGUGAUAUCACAUAAACACAUAACACAUAAUCAUGAUAUGUAGAUGUAAGGCCUUAAGAAAGCAGUAACACAUAGCACAUAGGCAUGCAAAAACACACAAGGCAAAUAAAGCCCUAACUAUUACAUUUAGGGGGCCCUACUACAAUCUAAAAGGGGAAAGGAAUAAAAAUAAAUAAAUAAACCCCUAACUAUUACAAUUUGGCAUUUAAAUGCCUUUCAAAUAAUUGAAAUUGAACUAAAAUAAAUAUCCAAAAUUAAAACAAAUAAAGCGAAUAAAUAAAUAAAUAAAAUGAAAACAUUCAAAAGGCAUGCAACAAAAUCACAUAAGGGCACAUAAAAUCAAUUAAAGUCAAAAUAAGGGAUAGAGUGUACCUCUCUUGAGUUGAUGCCCUAAUGAAAUGAAAUUAUUUAUUUACCCUCCAAAAACAAAGAAAAGGUCAAGGCAUCACUUUAAUUAACAAAAGAAUCACAUGAAAUGAAAAUAAACACGAAAUUAAAUCACUCAAAGCAUUCAAAUAAACUAAACAACCCAUAUUCAUCAAAUAAGGACCCAAUUGAAAGAAUUGUAAAAGUUUGAGGGAUCAAUUUAUUAUUAAAAUUAAAGAUUUAAGAUUAAACCUACAGAACCAAAAUGAUAAAAUUCACAAAAAUAAGAGAAAAACCUAUUUGCAACAAAAGUCCCUAAUAUUUAAUUGUUAUAUCAAAAAUCCAAAUGAAACUACAAAUCUAACGCUAAUUAUUAAACCUUCAGAAAUUCAUCCUAAAAUUUAUUAGAAAUCUAUCCAAAAAUCAUGUUAAGACAUAUUAAAAAGAAAUGGCAUGUUAAGGGGACACAAUUGAUCAAAUUGGUCAAUUAAUUGGGCCAAGGUGGAAUGAGGAGAAACAUGUGGGGUUGAAAUGCAAUUUUUGGAAGAUUUUCAUGCAUGCAAACCAAAGCCUUCGGCAAAAGCUGAAGUUGUUUUCCUUCUACCAUUUCUGCUGGAAUUUUUCAUGCGCAAGCCUCUGCAAUCCAAUAAAAACUUUCGGCAAGCAAGAUUCAUGCAAAACUUUGAUCCAUCUCUAAUUAGACAUGGCUAAACAUCUAUUAACAAAGGAAUUCUUGGAAGACUUUCAUGCAAGUUGCAUGCAAAAAAUAAGCUUCUGCAACCGAAAGAAUGUUUUUAAAACUUUUUCUCCUAUGCUAUUCAGUUUCAGCAGCCGCAAGCCACUCAUGGUUCGUGAGGUAAAAGAACAAUAUCAUGCCAAACCAUUAACCCAAUCACCUAGUUUUUGGUGAGCAUGCACUUCUGGAACGAGGAGAGACAAAUAACUCACGAAGGAAUAAAUAAUAGUUCAGCAAGAUGCAGACCAAUUCACUUCAAUCUUGCUGCAACUUACUCAUGAAGCAUGUUCAUACAAUCAACUUAAAUCCAACCUACCAAGUGUAAUGAUUUUCCACCCACUGAUGCCAUUACCUUAAGAUACAUCCCAACAGAUUUGAAAGUGCACAAAAUGCAGCAAAGAUGCAUAAGGAAAGAAACUAAAAAACACAACAGACUUCGCGCAACUUCCUUUCUACAAUUUCAGCAUGUAUAUAAACAUUUACACGCCCCAAUGAAACAUGUAGAUACCUCACCCAAUGCCCCAAAAAACUCCAACCCAACUUACUUUGAAUCAAACAGCGAAAUCAUAAUUUUAGUUACUGCCUUCACCCCCCCCCCAAAGAAAAUUUUACAAAAACUACGCUGCAUUCAUCUCGAAUCAAAAACCAACAUUGACUAAAAUAACCAAAUCUGAUGAACUAUACUUCUGGAACAAAUCAUACAUAACAUAGGCAAUCAAAGGAAGUCUUGCCGACAUUAGAAACUCCUACUUCGACACACCAAAAGGGAGCAGAAAAGAACUGCUGCAACAAGCUGAAAGCUUCGAGCUUGUUGCAGCUUUUUGCAAUCUUGACUUCAGCCAAACAAAAAACCACAAAUUCCAUGAGCAAGUUUAAACAAAGGUUCAUUUUUCGGAAAAAACUUUAACUGAACCCAAACAACCAUAAACAUAGCAAGGAUAAACACAACUUACGGAGAGGAAAUGCCAAAAAAACCUCUGAUGCAUCAAAAUCACAGAAACUUAUCAUACGGACAUGCAAAUCUUUUGUGAGAAAGGAAAGUUGUGCAGUCUUUUAGGUUCAUCGUUUCAAAGCACAAAAACCAGCAGCAAAUAAUACAAGAUCUACGUCCACAGGCUUGCAUUCUCCCUAAAACUAAUUAAAGUAACAAAAGAAGAAACGAUAGUUACCUCUGGACCGUGACGAAGGACAAUGAACGUCAAAUGUGUCGGAUUUCAAGGAAUCGCCUCACUUUCUUUGGAUCUCUUUCACUCUCGUUGGUUUUUUGUUGCCUGGUUCUUCUCUUUUAUGGCUCCUUAGUCUCCCGAGGAACUUCCUUCCUUUCCCGUAGGUUUCUUACCCACAGUUUUUUCAGAUUUCACCAAGCUAUCCUGAUUUCUCUCCGUUGCUGUUUCUCCCUUUUCUUCCUCGGCCAGCCCCCAGCUCUCCUCUCGUUUUCCAAUUUUCUUACUUUUUCUUUCUAGCCCUCAGCCAUACCUACCUCUUUUGCUCUUGGUCUCCUCUCGUUCCUCCUCGCAAGCUCUCCCCGCAACCCUCUAGUUUUUGUUCUCUUUCCGUAGCUAGUUUCUUGCCCUAGCCGCCCAAACGAAGCUCUCUCCUUUCUUAGUUUUUCCUCUGCUUCUUUGUUGUUUUCGUUCCUCCACCGCCAGCUUUUUUUUUUCCUUUCCUUCCAUUUUCCCGAAGCUUUUUUUUUUUUUUUUUUUGUCGAAACGAUAAGAUGAUCUCAUUACUUUAAUGGUAAAAAAAAAAUUACAAGUACGAGCAACAGCUCGAUCGAAACUCUACAAACUAGUGUUCUUUCUUGCCCCCCUAUUUUCUUUCUUUUUCAUCCGCUGCCCCCUUCUCGUGGCCUUUUUCCCUUUUUCCGGUCCUCCCCAAUCCUUUUUUUUUAUUUUUCUUUCCCCAAAAAUUCUCAAACCCACCAAGUGUCUAGACACCUUACCUUCUAGGUGUUGUGUUGUCAAACAAAAUAAAAGGGACACUUGUCCCUAUUGCAUGUAUCCCAUUUGUCAUUUUUCUUGAUUUGAUUUUUUCUUUAUUUUUUCAAAAUUUAGUGUUUAAAAAAUGCUUUUAAAAGAAAAGAAAAUGAUGAAUUUUAAUGUACCAAAAAUAAGAAUAAACACCAAUUACUAUUUGCAAUCUUAAAAAAAAUAAAAUAAUAAAUAUGAAACAAGAAUAAAUAAUAAUAAAAAUAAAAUUGAUUUAAAUAAACAAAGCUAAAAUUGAAUGAAUAAAGCUAAGUAAAUAAAGUAUAAAAUUGAAUUAAUGAAAUUUUUGGUGUCUACAAAUUGUAAAUGAAAACCCUAUUACACACGAUUUAAGGAAAAUUGAUUUGAACCGACGUGUACCGUUCGCUACCGAUUGAAUACACCACUUGACCACCACUUUAUUACCUUAAUCCUCUUCUUAUUAUUUCAUAAAUAUCAGCCCUUAAAUAUCCUAGAGAGAGAGCCAAAAUUAUUGACCAAAAAGAAAGGAAAAAGAAGAAAAAAUUUGACUUCCAAUCAAAGUGUGACACUUGUUAAAUUUAGACCCAAAUCAAUUCCUACCUUCUUAUUUUUUUGGAGCUUCAUUUCAGCCUUCAUUUCUGCACACUUGGGCGUGAGUUGAAAAGAGAAAAGAGAGGAAGGAAAGUUAGCAACUUCAUCUUGAAUCCAUCUUGUUUGAGUUGGAAUCCAAAAUCCAAAUCGAUUAAAUUUUCAUUUUAGUACUUAGGAAGCUUUGUGUGGUAAAAGUUAUGGAAGAAAAUGGUGUGGUUCUCACCUACAAGCACUCUUUGGAAGGUAUCUUGGUUGUCUUCCCUUUUUCUCUUUUUAAUCUUGCUAAAGUUUGGAUAAAAACUCUUAAUCUUGGGUUAUACUGGUUAAUUAGUGAAUUGUGCAGAUAUGAUGGAAUGUUUAGCUAGGGUUUACAUUUUCAGCUUUGAUUAUGGUUAUUUACCUAGUAAUUGAUGUUAUUGACCUAGUAAUUGAUGGUUUUAAUGAUAGGGUACUUGUUAGAUAUGAAUUUCUAGAAUAAAAGUUCAAAUUUCCAGCUUUAAGGUUGAAACUGCCCUGUUAUUGAUCUGUAUGUACGUCCAUGUUAGAGGCCGAAUCAGGCUUAGGUCAAAACAUGACAGUUGUAGGAAAUGGUGUUAAAUAGCUGCCUGAAAAAUUUCAACUCAAUUGGAGCACCGUAGCAUGUGAAAUGAUAAAAAUACCCUUGAGUGCCCAAUGUACUGUUUUGCGGACAGUUUUUUGUUUUCCUCUGAGAUGUCACAUUUUGAUAUCGAAAUGCAUUAAUUGGAUGUUGAUGUCUUCAUAAGAAAUUUAGUUCUCUGUUUUAGCUUCGAAACGAUAUAAAGUACCCCAAUCCGAUAAGCGUAGGUUCGGUUGUGACCGAAACGCCAAGAGAUGUCAAACCUGUUAUUUUGUUAUUUGUCUUGAACAUUAGUUCUGGUCGCAUUGCUAGUAUUGUUUUGUAAUUGAAUGACAUGGAACCUAGUGAAAGGCUAUUGUAGUAAGAUUAUUUGUGUGUGAUUCUGGGGCUGAAUUGAAGAAAAUAAUGAAGUCAUAAAUGGCUGGAAUAUAGGUAAAUACAAAGGACGUGCUGCCCAAAUUUUCACUCGAGAGCCAGUUGGAUGUACUCGCGACUUGAGCGAAUGUUUUAUGAUUGUUCAUUUUUUAAGACCAACUACUAUCUUUUUACUCCAACGCCACAUUGUUAUUUCUUUUCCCUAGUAGUUAACUUGACUAAGCAUACGACUUGUAGUUGAGCCUCAUUUGUGCAUUCCGUUCCUGGGUUUGUCGAUAAGGAAACCAUAAUUUUUUUUACCUUGGUUGUUGUUAGGACGUGACGGUGAUCAAAGCCAUCCUUUGGGAGAAAACUUUUGAAGUUAUCUUUGCUUGAACUGGUGAGUGUACCACUCCCCUGAUUUGUCACUUAACUAGUUGCUUUAUACUUGAAAUCUGUGACUUGAAUGACUAUGAACUCUGUUUAUUCUGAAUGAGACGAGGGUGUAUUUUAUUACACUCGUUCUCUUGCCUGUAUGAUCGUUUACUGUGUGAAUUUGAAUAUGUUAUCUGUGUCUGUUCUAACGUCAUUUGGAGGCUUGUAUCCAACGACCCUUCUGUGACCUCUGAGCUCAAAUCCUGUGGCUAGUUACUCAAGUCGAGUCGGCAAGGGUUUGAUCGAUUAGAUAACGAGCCACAGUAGUCUGUUUCUGGAAAAUCUUUGGGUAUUAGAGACUUUGGAUUUCCGGUAUACUCGAGUAUUGCUACCUCUGUUUUGUAUGUGGUGUUCGGACCCGGCCAGGGGUAUGUUCGGUGGACGGAAUUUGAUGUCAAGUGAGGUCUACGGUCAUGUUUGUGUCUUCAAACGUUGUCAGAGCAUCAACGAGUUGGGAUCAAAUACUCCAAUAGGAAUUUUGGCUCCUGAGAGCCAUCUGUAUCCCUUCUAUUGAGGUGUUUGUUCAUUUUCUUGUAUGUUGUGUAUAUGUGCCUUAAGAGUGAAAUGUCAUAAUUCUUGACUACUUGUACUUGUGGUAAUUCAUUGAGCGUAAGCUCACCCCAUUCCCGUUAUCUUUGUUUUCCUUACAGGGUUCAAUAUUUUGAGAGUUAUAAUUUUUAAAGAAAGAGUCGAGUUAGUGUAGACAUUCUUUUGAUCAUGCUCCUCUGUAAUCGAAACCCUAAUUGUAAUUUUGUAUAUGUAUGGUUACUAUGGCUUGUAUUUCAAGUUAACUUGUUGAAAACUCUAAUGUAUAUAUGUAUAUAAGUGGUUAAUCAAGGGUUUCAAGCGUAUUCAUAUGAAAUUGUAUGUUUCUAUGGUUAUGUGAACUUUCUUGUAUCCAUUGGGAAAAUCGAACGAGUGCAAAGCUUGAACGAGAAAGAAAAAAAUUUGGUCGGAUUUUGACGUGGCCGCAGUCCUUUGUGUUUUUGGAUGAUUCGUUUUCCCGAAGUUCGUUGAACCGUUUGGUAAGGUUUAUGAAUGAUUUGAUCCGUAGUCCUGACGAGAGUUGGGCAGGUGGUCCGCCAACCCUUUGGUUCGCCUUAGGAGGAGGUGGGGCCGUCACAGAUGGUAUCAGAGCUGUUUCACAUGGUCUCUGCACAGAGUAAGUUUGGGCCGAGUGGUGUUAUGGUCCUGAUAUGGUGAAUGAGUGUAAAGGACUAAGUGCUCUUUUGCGCAUAAGCUAUGGAUCGUGAAAUGUUAUAGGUUUCAAACAUUUAUCAUGGUACUUGGAGAUAAUAGAUAUGUAUAUUAGGUAGGAAUCUCAAAUGUAGAUGAUUUACUUUUAGGACUGGCCAGUUCAAGUUGUAAAUUAUCUUAGUUUGGAUUUUUGUACCUAAAUACUAAAGAUGAAAGCCUAAAUUAGAAAUGAUUUGGGCGAGUUAGAACUUUGAUUCUACGAAAUUUCAUGUGAUGUGUUAAGGUAUCAUUAAGUAUGAUUAACCCUGUCUACGAUAUAAACUGCGUUAUUCUUGUUGGUUACGGACAGAGCUCCUAGAGAGGGAAACACACCUAGUUCUACCCAUGAGGGAGAGUUCGUUAGCUCGAUUGGGAAUUAGGUUAGACCUCCUGUAAGCCAUGUUUGAUUCCAUGCGAGGGGCAGUUAGGAAAGCUCAGAUGAUUUUGUACUUCUGGCCUAGUUUCUAUAUUGUACUUUUGAAUGACCCCCUAUUUUCAUGAGAUUACUUUUGUUUGUGUCUGACUGUUACUGUGUGAUAUAUAUGCUAAAGUUGUGUUAACUGUUUGAUUUUUGACUUGUGUGUAUUGUUGUAACUUGUCCAUGCAUUUAUCUCUCUUUCAUAUUACCUUCGCGCUUCGACCUUAGAUUGGUUAAAUCGAAUGAAAGGUACUCGUAGUGGAUGAGGCCGUGGGCGCGGAUCGAGGCAAUCCAUGAAUGAAGAGGGUAACCGUGAACCAGUACCUGAAUAGAAUUCUAGAUCGGGAAUUGACCCUAAUGUUCAGUAACCGCUGCUAUUCAGCAUAUGACCGAUCUGUUGGCCCACAUAGUGAAGCAUCAGGGCCAAAACCCUAUUCUUCAAUCUGAAAAUCUUGGAAACCAUAUAGAAGGUGAGGAUAGGGCCCUCGAACGAUUUCAAAAGUUUUCUCCACCACUACAAGAAAUUUGGUCUUCAGUGACAAGCCAUUUUUGUCACAAAAAAAUAAAAAGUCGUCACUGAUAACUUUUAUUGACAACUUUCUAGUUGUCAUAGAGUCGUCACUGAAGGCCCGUCGGUAAAAGUAUAUAGUGACGACAAUAAAAGUCGUCAGUGAAUGGAACUCUUUUGUGACAACUGAUGUCGUCAAUAAUUAUUGUAAUUUUAGUGAUGACAUAGUAUCUUGUCAAUGAUGUACAAAUAAAUGUCGUCACUAAAAGUGAUAUGUAAUUGUCAUUGGUAUAAACUAAUUACUGACGACUUUUGUUGUCACUAAACACUUUUUAAUUCUAUGACCGCAGAUUGUUAUUAAUGGAAAAUUCUGAUUCAAUGAUAACUCUUUAUCACCAUGAAAAUUGAAAAUUUUCCUACAACAAUUAUAUCUAUAAAUGGAAAAAAAUGACAAUGAUUUAUAAUUAGCAAAUGAAUGCAUCCAUUGCAUUACGAAAUGUCAAAAUAUCAUAUAAGCAUUCAAAUAUCAUAAUGAAGUUCAACAACACCCUAUAGAUAGUUUGAUAAGUGGUAUUUGGCCUAAAUUUCACAUAUAACUCGAGGUAGCUUUACAAAACAAAUCCAAGUCCCAAAUUUCAACACAAAGCUGCUUCAGCAACACUCAGCUCCUCCCCUCAACACUCCGCUCCUCCCCUCAGGUAAAAGAUUUGUAAGGCAGUUUUCAGCAAUGGCUCCUAAAGCUGACACCACAAAAAAGCUUGAUACAAAGGCUCAGGCAGCCAAGGUUGCCAAAUUUGUCAAAUCUGGGACAACUUUUAAGAAGAAAGCCAAGAAGAUCCGGACCAAAGUUACCUUCCAUCGUCCUAAGACAUUCAAAAUCAAAAUCAAAAUCAGCCCCAAAGAAAAUCAAAAUCAGCCCCAAACUAAUGCACCAAAUUGGCUCAAGAAAUAAGUACUGCUAUUAAACUUCAGCCUCAAAGGAAUAAUAUAACAAGUUGAUAAGGCACAAGCACUACUAUAACAAGUACUGAUAUAAGUACUGCUAUGAACAAUAUAACCAGUGGAUAAGACGAUAAGUACAACACUAAAGGAAAAGCAACUUCAGUUCACUUGCUUAGCUAAAACAUUCAAAUAAACUAAACUAAACUAAACCAAAACAAUCCAAACUAAUGCACCACAGAGGAUACAAGGUGUCAAGUAUGAUAACCAAAGUAAUGUCGAUCAUGAUAUAAGGUGUCAAGUAGGAGCAAUGUGUACCAACAUAACUAGAAUGUUUCUUUGCCAUUUAAAAGCAAAUAACAACUUUCUUGUUCUACAUCUCUGAAAUUACUUUUGCUGUUUGUCAUGGUGUAUUAAUUCCAUAGAAAACCAACACCCCUUAAUAUUGUAUUCCAAUCAAACUAGUGAGUUAGGCAAGUGGCGGGAUGUGACGGCCCCACAUCCCCCUAAGGCGAACCAAAGGGUUCGACGGGCCGCCUGCCCAACUCUCGCCGGGACUCAGUCGUUCCCUAUAGUCCUCAAAUAGAUUACAAUAUAAAUUUCAAAUAUUACAUCAAAUGUUCCAACAUUUUCAUAUCAAAAGCGAAGCGUCCACGCUUCCACUGCGCCACUCUGAUCCAUGAUCCCAAUUCUUAUAUAAGAGGAAUUCCAUAACAAUAAAAUCACAACAAGCCUUCCUUCGCCACGAGCCCUGUGAAGGGGAAUAAAAUAGUUUUGGGGUGAACUAAAAGCUCAGCGAGUAACCAGAAAAAUCAGUAAUCAAAUCGGUUUCACAAUAGUUCAUUUCAAUGAUGUCAUAUAUCAAUGAUGUCAUAAAUCAAAUGAUAAGUCCAGAAACAACUACAACAUUUGCAAAACAGUAAAUAUGGAGUAUCAAUAAUUCAAGAAACAUUUACAAUGGAAAGCGAUAGUAACAUUCAUGAGAAAGAUACGUUCGUUCUCCGACAUUUCCUCCUUCCUUCAAACUUUUGAAAAAUGCAUUUUCGUUUCUUUUAUAAAUAAAUGCCUCGCUCAUUUGGUCAUUCAUUUCAUUCACCAGACUCCACCAACCUCCACCAACCUACAAAGGUAAUACUCGAGUAUACCAAACGUUCACCCAAGUCCCUAAUCGCCCGACCGAGACCGUUUCUGGCUCGAGACGACCGGUAACAAGGGGCAAUGGCCAGUUCAGCCCAAAAGGCUUAUAUCAUGCGCAACUAGCAUUUCAAUAAUUAAAUCCUUGAAAACUGCACAGUUAUUUAGGUCGAAUGCGAUAAAGUACACACUCGCCUAGAAAGCUCGUUUUGGAAAUCAUUCAAAACACUUAACACGUUAUCAAUCAAUAAUACAAGUCAUGAAAUCAAGAAAAUAUAGCAAAUAAGGAACACUCAUAUGCAAGCACGCAUGAUAUGCAAGAAAACAGUUCAAAAGUAACUUUGGAAAUAGUUUAAAGGUAAAUAAUGCAAGAAAACGGUACAAAAGUAACUUUGGAAACAGUUCAAAAGUAAAUAAUGCAGGAAACGGUUCAUAAAUAACUUCAGAAAUAGUUUGAGGUCACUCACCUCCAUGGCUCAGAAAUCAUCCAUCAUAUAACAUUGCCUUGCUCAAAUCCAAGUCUUAGAUCACAAACUCAAAGCAAUCAAACCCUUUAAAACUUCGGACAGCACUUCCCCUAAAUUUGCUUACUUUCCCAGCCAUCAUGGCUUCAUUAUAUCUUCAGCCAGUCCCAAAGGUACACACACAACAACAAGUUCAUCCAAUAGCCAUUCAGCAAGCUCCAAGUAAUACGAGUACAAUUCAAGCUAGGGAAAAGUUCGGAAAUGAAAGUUAAGCUCAAAAUCAGAAAAACGGUUUUGACGUCAUUUUGCGGUAAUGGUACCAAAGGCGUUACGAUUGUCGGAUGAAGGUGCAAGAUCCACCGUUUCGAAGCUAAGAGACAGGGCUACAAUAUUACAGAAGGCCACUCAACCCAGUUUCGAGUGUAACCAGGUCAAAAAUACAAGAAACUACACCAGAAUCACAAAAACAGCUUCACAGAACGCAUUCUAGCGGAAACAUCAUAACUCAGGCUCUCCAAGUCCAAAUCCAGAAAUUCCAAAACCAGAUGAUAGCUAAGAAAUAGGGAUAAAUUUCAUUAGAAGGCCUCAAAAACUAAUUCGGAAGUAUUCCUGACCAAAACAACCAAUUACAGAAGCAAUUCCCAAAUUCGGGUAAAACCAGGACAGCAAGGGGAAUUCCAUUUUUUCACAAGCUACGCUACUCCGAUUGAUCUGAAAUUUUGUAGACACCUCUAAAAUAUCAUUCCCUACAACUUUUAUGUUUUAAGCUAAGGCCAAUUCGGCCUCUAACUAGGAGCUAAAAAUUCGGACAGAAUGUUCCUUCACAAAACCUAAUUUUCUGAAAUUUCUUCCAAAACAGAAAUUGAUUGCAAUUGACCACUUUUUCCACCUCAUAGAGUCCUAAAACAUCAUUUCCAAUCAUCAUAUAUAACCACACAACCAUGUUCAUAUUAAAACAGAAAAAUCCCCAAAAAUUAUAAAACUUCAUCAAGUCAACCACAACUCAAGAUAUAAUCCAUCAAACCAUCUCUUUAGCCAUCACAAGUCACUAAUUUAGCAUAAUCAAGAACAAAGAAAGGAUUGCUGGACAUGAACCUUGAAAUAUCUAGAAAUUUGAUGGCUUAGUCCUUUGCCUUCUCUAAUCACUCCACCACUACCUUCAAUCUUCCUAAACAAGUGACUUUUGUGGAGGAAUUUGAAAGUUUAACGGUUGAUUCACAAGAUUGAGCAAGAAAUGGAGUUGGAGUUGAAGGCUUUCUUCUUGUAUUUUUGCUCCAAGAGGUUCGGCCAAGCUUGCAGAAAUUUAGGUGUUUUUUGGGUCAAAAUUGAGUAUUAGUAAAGGUAAGAAAUAAUGGUCAAAGUCAAGGUUGAAUAGGAGGUGACACUUGUCACCCUUAGGUUUAAAACUUAUCUUUUUGUCUCUCCAAUACAAAUAUCUUAACACUUUGUAAAAUAAUAUCACUUAAUACAAAAUUCCAACAAGUUGUCAAAAAUAUAAUGCAUUUACCGCACUAGCGGGUCACACGUUCAAAAUACGCUCUUAAUUUCUCAAAAACUAAUCGAUACUAGAAAAAUCAUUUUAAAACUAUCUUUGCUCAUAAACUUUAUUUGGGAAAUUUUUCUAAUCAAGAAAAUGUAGAAAAGGCGGGCGAUUAAAAAAAAUAAACCCUAGAAAAUUAGAAAAUUUCCGGGUUUUCACUCUCAUUCUUUUCGGGGCGUCACAAACUCCCCUCCUUAAAAGAAUGUCGUCCUCGACAUUCCCUCUUGUACUAAUCAGAUCAAGAUAUCCCUCAAGAAUCACUAAUAUUGCAAACCAAACCCACAGUCCAGCAUCCUAAACUUCAAGCCUAAGAUACACUAUAGAGAUCUGAAGCCUAAGCUCUGAUACCAACUGUGACGGCCCCACAUCCCCCUAAGGCGAACCAAAGGGUUCGGCGGGCCGCCUGCCCAGCUCUCGCCGGGACUCAGUCGUUCCCUAUAGUCCUCAAAUAGAUUACAAUAUAAAUUUCAAAUAUUACAUCAAAUGUUUCAACAUUUUCAUAUCAAAAGCGAAGCGUCCACGCUUCCACUGCACCACUCUGAUCCAUGAUCCCAAUUCUUAUACAAGAGGAAUUCCAUAACAAUAAAAUCACAACAAGCCUUCUUUCGCCACGAGCCCUGUGGAGAGGAAUAAAAUAGUUUUGGGGUGAGCUAAAAGCUCAGCGAGUAACCAGAAAAAUCAGUAAUCAAAUCGGUUUCACAAUAGUUCAUUUCAAUGAUGUCAUAUAUCAAUGAUGUCAUAAAUCAAAUGAUAAGUCCAGAAACAACUACAACAUUUGCAAAACAGUAAAUAUGGAGUAUCAAUAAUUCAAGAAACAUUUAUAAUGGAAAGCGAUAGUAACAUUCAUGAAAAAGAUACGUUCGUUCUCCUGACAUUUCCUCCUUCCUUCAAACUUUUGAAAAAUGCAUUUUCGUUUCUUUUGUAAAUAAAUGCCUCGCUCAUUUGGUCAUUCAUUUCAUUCACCAGACUCCACCAACCUCCACCAACCUACAAAGGUAAUACUCGAGUAUACCAAACAUUCACCCAAGUCCCUAAUCGCCCGACCGAGACCGUUUCUGGCUCGAGACGACCGGUAACAAAGGACAAUGGCCAAUUCAGCCCAAAAGGCUUGCAUCAUGCGCAACUAGCAUUUCAAUAUUUAAAUCCUUGAAAACUGCACAGUUAUUUAGGUCGAGUGCGAUAAAGUGCACACUCGCCUAGAAAGCUCGUUUUGGAAAUCAUUCAAAACACUUAACACGUUAUCAAUCAAUAAUACAAGUCAUGAAGUCAAGAAAAUAUAGCAAAUAAGGAACACUCAUAUGCAAGCACGCAUGAUAUGCAAGAAAACAGUUCAAAAGUAACUUUGGAAACAGUUUAAAGGUAAAUAAUGCUAGAAAACGGUACAAAAGUAACUUUGGAAACAGUUCAAAAGUAAAUAAUGCAGGAAACGGUUCAUAAAUAACUUCAGAAAUAGUUUGAGGUCACUCACCUCCAUAGCUCAGAAAUCAUCCAUCAUAUAACAUUGCCUUGCUCAAAUCCAAGUCUUAGAUCACAAACUCAAAGCAAUCAAACCCUUUAAAACUUCGGACAACACUUCCCCUAAAUUUGCUUACUUUCCCAGCCAUCAUGGCUUCAUUAUAUCUUCAGCCAGUCCCAAAGGUACACACACAACAACAAGUUCAUCCAAUAGCCAUUCAGCAAGCUCCAAGUAAUACGAGUACAAUUGAAGCUAGGGAAAAGUUCGGAAAUGAAAGUUAAGCUCAAAACCAGAAAAAACAGUUUUGGCGUCAUUUUACGGUAAUAGUACCAAAGGCGUUACGAUUGUCGGAUGAAAGUGCAAGACCCGCCAUUUUGAAGCUAAGAGACAGGGCUACAAUAUUAUAGAAGGUCACUCAACCCAGUUUCGAGUGUAACCAGGUCAAAAAUGCAAGAAAAUACACCAAAAGCAGAAAAACAGAUUCACAGAACGUAUUCUAGCGGAAACAUCAUAAAUCAGGCUAUCCAAGUCCAAAUCCAGAAAUUCCAAAACCAGCUGAAAGCUAAGAAACAGGGCUAAAUUUCAUUAGAAGGCCUCAACAACCAAUUCGGAAGCAAUUCCAGCCAAAACAACCAAUUACAGGCGCAAUUCUUACAUUCGGGUAAAACCAGAACAGCAAUUGUAAUUUCGACUUUUCUCAUUACACACUACUCCGAUUGACCUGAAAUUUUGUAGGCACCUCUAAAAUAUCAUUCCCUACAACGUUUAUGUUUUAAGGUAAGGCCAAUUCAGCCUCUAACUAGGAGCUAAAAAUUCGGGCAGAAUGUUCCUUCACAAAACCUAAUUUUCUGAAAUUUCUUCCAAAACAGAAAUUGAUUGCAAUUGACCACUUUUUCCACCUCAUAGAGUCCUUAAACAUCAUUUCCAAUCAUCAUAUAUAACCACACAACCAUGUUCAUAUUAAAACAGAAAAAUCCCCAAAAAUUAUAAAAUUUCAUCAAGUCAACCACAACUCAAGAUAUAAUCCAUCAAACCAUCUCUUUAGCCAUUACAAGUUACUAAUUUAGCAUAAUCAAGAACAAAGAAAGGAUUGCUAGACAUGAACCUUGAAAUAUCAAGAAAGUUGAUGGCUUAGUCCUUUGCCUUCUCUAAUCACUCCACCACUACCUUCAAUCUUCCUUAACAAGUGACUUUUGUGGAGGAAUUUGAAAGUUUAACGGUUGAUUCACAAGAUUGAGCAAGAAAUGGAGUUGGAGUUGAAGGCUUUCUUCUUGUAUUUUUGCUCCAAGAGGUUCGGCCAAGCUUGGAGAAAUUUAGGUGCUUUUUGGAUCAAAAUUGAGUAUUAGUAAAGGUAAGAAAUAAUGGUCAAAGUCAAGGUUGAAUAGGAAGGUGACACUUGUCACCCUUAGGUUUAAAACUUAUCUUUUUGUCUCUCCAAUACAAAUAUCUUAACACUUUGUAAAAUAAUAUCACUUAAUACAAAAUUUCAACAAAUUGUCAAAAAUAUAAUGCAUUUACCGCACUAGCGGGUCCCACGUUCAAAAUACGCUCUUAAUUUCGCAAAAACUAACCGAUACUAGAAAAAUCAUUUUAAAACUAUCUUUGCUCAUAAACUUUAUUUGGGAAAUUUUUCUAAUCAAGAAAAUGUAGAAAAGGCGGGCGAUUAAAAAAAAACUCUAGAAAAUUAGAAAAUUUUCGGGUUCUCACUCUCAUUCUUUUCGGGGCGUCACACGGGACAUUGCAAAAUAUUCACAGUGAAAUUUACUUCAAGAAUGGCACCAAAAAUGGGAACCAUUCAUGUGAAAAGAAAAGGAAUUACCUCAAGGAAUGCCUUCAAAACCCAUAUAAAAGUUAGUACUAUUACUCCAUUAACAGAAAAUCCAACCUACAUCCAGCAAAAAGUUUGUGAUUAUACAGUAUAAAAUAAUGCUAUAUGGAGAACAAACUACCAUGUAAGACAUGAAACUAUCAAUAAUUAGCAAUUAACUGUGGCAAGAUGUACACUUCUCAAUUUAGCAUUAUUCCAAGUAGAAGAGGCAAAGCCAUAUUAAUUUGAAAAGGGACAUAUAGAUAGCUGGGGAAGAUGGAAAACAGGUUUUAUAGUGAAUAUUGGGCUAAUAGAGAAUAUGAUAGCACUUAACAGAGCUGUGGGGAGUACUCAAAAGGAUAAAAAUGGCUUGGAACUCUGGAGAAAAAAGAGUGAUUCUGGACACGAAUUGCAAGGCAGCUUUCGAACUAAUACAAGGAGCAGGACAAGACUCACCACUAUACGAUCUAAUAUGUCAGAUCAGGAAUGUUUUAAGCAAGGAUCGGGAAUCCUGGCUACAACAUGUUUGGAGAAAGAAGUAAGUGUGCAGACUAGCUAGCUAAAAGUAGUGUCAACAAAGAAUCUGGGAUGCAGAUUAUAACAGAACCGCCACAGGAACUUAGUGAAUUGCGUGGUGCAAAUAUUUUAGGGGCUGCGACCCUAUGUUUUGUUUCUGUUUAAGAGGAUUGACCUCUCCCUUGUAAACUUAACAAAAGGAACAUACUAGGCAGAGAAGUAAAUGUGGUCAACACAUUUGCAAGCAAAACAUUUUGGCCAAAGCACCUUUGCCCUUAAAAAAUAGUGAAACAUGUGAAAUUCAGCACAAGUAAGGCUAACAAGUAUAUUCUGGAGAAUCAUGGACUCUCAAAACAUAUCAUAAGAAGCUGUCCAUGCUGUUCUAAUAACAUUCCUAGUUCAUGAAUUUUUACCGAGGAAGAUCUUUUUUCACAUCAAAACUAAUUGAUGAGUUUUGGUCCUCUUACCAAGCUCUUCCAAAAUGAUACUAGUACAAGUCCUUAAGUAGACUUGAGAUGCAGCCUUAGAACUCUAUCACCAGAUUUCUCAGUCACCAGAUGCAACACCUUAGACUUGAGAUGCAACCUUAGAGGUUUGUGUUCUAGAAUGAAUUUAUAAGUUAGCAGAAAAAAAAAGUCUACAGUAUCUUAACUUGCAGGACUACAUCCAUAGCUAAUAUACAGCUUUUAAGGCAAAGUACAAAUGCAAUGAUUUGGAGCAACUUGUCCAGGUUUCUAAAAAAAUAAAUAAAUGGAAACAAAGGAAAUGAGAGUCGAUUUGUGAGUGCGCACAUUUACACAAAGAUAGAGCACUUCCAACAGGGGGGAUGUAAUACAUUUCAUUCAGUUCUCCACAGAAUCGAAAUUAACUGCAUUUCUGGUCAUUAAUUAACCACACAUUGUACCAACUUUCUUUGCUAAACUUGUCAUAAUACCUGUUACAACAAUGACGAUAAAGACAGCCAACGCAAUACUUCCACCAUCAUACCAUCCUUCUUUUAUACCCUGGAAAACAACAUAUUAGACUAUGGCAAGACCAAAUCAAAAUUAACCAAUCAAAACAUGUCAGCAUUUUCCAUUUUCCACUCAGAUUAGCUAGUAAAUCACAAGUAUAUUAAAAAAUACUUUAAUCUAUAAGAAUUUGAUAGGGACAGAUACCAUUCUUGUCAGAAAAUCAAAAGACAAGAUUUAAAAUUCAUACAACUAACAAAAUCAUGAUCUCAAACAUAUAGUAGUACAACAAAAUUAUUAAACAGAAAAAACUUUAUAGGGCUUACAAUUCUCAAUUCAAAAUAAGUAUUAAGAGUGAACUUAUCCUUAAAAUUAAAAUAAUAAUAAUAAUAAUUAGAGCAAACUCAAAAAUUAAGCUUACCUCUGUCUUUAUCCCAAGGGCCAAAGAAGCAGCCGCAGCUACCAUCAAGAUGAUUAAAGUAGUGUCUCGACAAGCUUCCCACAGAAACCUCUAUAACACAACUCACAAAUAAGCAAGUUAACGAGGCACAGCUCAUGAUGCAAAUGGUUCAAUAACUCAACGAUUUGCAGUAACAUACCCAAAUCUUCAAAAUAAGAACAUGCUGCUAAUGUUCAAUUAGACUAGUAACAAUAAAGUUUAUAAAAAAGAGGGGGGGAAUUUCCCUCAGUCACCGCCGGCUUGGUGCAGGUGUUCUUCUUGCGCUUCUUGGCGCCACCGUCGAGGUGGAGGACAAGGUGGAGGGCUGACUCCUUCUGGAUGUUGCAGUCGACUAGGGUGCGGCUGUCCUCGAGCUGCUUGCCAGUGAAGAUGAGGUGCUGCUGGUCCCGGGGAUGCCCUCCUUGUCCUGGGCAGAAAAUUUUUUUUUUAAAAAAAUUAGGGCAAUAAAAUUUGGGGAGAAAUUGAAACAAUUGAUCAUCUAAGUAGGGUAGAAAAGGUGAUUGCAAAUGAUGGUGAUUGCUAAUUAGGGUAAGAAACUUUGGGGAAACUAGACAAAUGAUAGAGAAGAAGAGAAUUUACCCAAAAAUUGAAUGUUGGGAACACAAAAUCGGGUCAAUAAAAAUUGGGGGAAAUUGAUUACUAAGCAAGAAGAGAGAAACUUGCCUUUUUACAGCACAUGCUCUGAGGAAACAUAUCAAAAUCAGUAGCCCAAUAAGGAGGAAUGCUCGAUGUGAGAACCCGUAAAACCCUAAUUACUUUCCUAGGGUUUAUUUUCCCUUACUUGCAUGUUUUCUGCAUUUUCUGGUUUAGAAAUAUUUUCUUAGUGGAUUUUAUGAGCAAUUAUAGUUUUAAGAUGAUUUUUUCUAGCAUUGGAGAAAUUUUAGAAAAUUAAGAGUAAAUAGUGGACGUGGGACCCACUAGUGCGAAAAGUUCGGAAAAAUUCGGCCAAUAAGGUUAAGUUUCGGAUACUGUGUAAAAUUUAUCGGGUGUUAAGAGAUAAGUAGUGUGUGUGAAGUGAUUGAUGUGAGAGAGAAAAGAAAGAUAAGAAGGCAUUAAUGGAGGUGACAAGUGUCACUUUCUUAUUGGAUACCUUUUAAGAAUUACUAUUCACAAUUUUGACUUUUUUGACCAAAGGUUAAAUAUCCAAAAAAAUCACAAAAUUUCCUCAUUUUUCUUUCUCCUUGGCCGGCUCCCUCUCACUCUCUUGCAAGAAGAAGAACUCUUCAAUCUUCAAGCUUUCUACUAGUACAUCAUCUAAAUCAACCAAAUAAACAAGAUUCCACUCCAUAAAAUCCUACCUUCUAGUGCUAGUAAGGGUUGUAGUGAAGUUGUUUUGAAGAGCAAAGGUGUCCACAAUCUUUCUUUCCCUUGUUUCUUGGUAAGUGAUGCUACAACCUCUCCCCUAUACCUAAUGAUGGUUAUAUUAUGCGUAAUGGUGGCAUGAGUGAAGGAAUAUAUGAUUUGUUUCUUGAUUUGGCUUGUUUUGGUGAAACUUUUAUUUUAUUGGAAAUUUUUCUGGUUUAAUAUGAAUGGGAUGUUGUGGCAUUGUAUGAUGAAUGGUAAUGGUUGACAAUGACUCUAUGAGGUGUAUUGGAUAGGAAAAUGCAAUCAAUUUUGGAUUUGGUGUGAAAAUUGAAAAGCUAGGGUUCUUAACUCCCCAAUUCUGUCCGGUUUUGGAUCAUAGGGUUAGAGGCCAAAUUGGACUUUGCUCAAAACAUGAAAGUUUUAGGUAUUGAUGUGUUUAAGGUUUCUGUAAAAUUUCAGGUCAUUUGAAUGAGUGUGGAGUGAGUUAUACCAUUUUUACUGUAGCUGUCCUGCUUUGAGCAGAAUGCGAAAACUGCGAUAGUAAUUGGCCAUUUUGACUGGAAUUGGUUUGGAUUUUGGAGUUGGUGUCUUCUGAUGAAAUGUAGCUGAAUGUCUUAGCUAACAUAUGCUUUUGGAAUUUCGGCAUUUGGACUUGUAUGGACUGAGAUAUACCGAUUACAGUUUUCUGCAUUUUACAAACCUGUUUUGGGAAUUCUGGUAUAGUAUUUCGUAUAUUUGACCUAGUUGUGUUAGGAACUGGAUUGAAUGACCUUCUACAAUGUUGUAACCCUGUUUCUUGGCUUCGAAACGGUGGGUCUUACACCCCCAUCCGAUAACCGUAGUGAAAUUGACGCCAUUACCGCAUAAUAAGUGUAAAACAGUUUUUCCUAAUCGGGGCCAAGACUAUUGCUAAUUUUAAUUUCUGGUUUGCUAUCGUGUUCAUUUAUGCAUAUGAAACCCUAUUGGGGUUGUGUUUAGCAUUGUUUAGUGACUCGUUCUCGAGUCUCAUUGUAUGUGUUACAUGUUUUAGGGCGUGACGGUAGCUCACGACGUCUUGGUGACCACGGUGUAUGAAACACCACUUUCUCACUUGGUGAGUAUACUACUCACUAAAUGGUUACUAUGUGGCUUUGCUAAAUGCUUAUGUGAUGCCUUGAAGGCUUACUUGCAUAUUGGAAUUGAUUAAGGUGAGGGUGUACUUGACCGCCCUCACCUCUUUUGAUAUUGUCAUUGAUUGGCUACCGUUUUAUUGCAUUAUUGAACUUGAUAUAUUGGUUGGUGAAUUCCAUUUCAUGGAAACUGAAUUGAUGUCGUUUGGACGAUGUCCAACGGCCUUACUGCAUUACUGAGCUCAAUCCCGUUUGGUAGUCAAUCGAAUCGAGCCGGCGAGGGCUUGGUCGUGAAGAUUGAAUUGCCACGGGGACUGUACUGGGGAACCUUGUGGUAAUGAGACCCUUGGUUUCGGUAAACUCGAGUAUUACCAAAACUACUGAAAUGAAGUGCGGGCCCGGUUGGGGUAUGUUAGGUGGAAGGAUUGGAAGUAAAGGGUGGUCUACGGUUUGGUAAUUUUAACAUUGACGGAGAGUCAAUGAGGUUGGAUCAAGAUUGCAAGCGUGGAAAUGGGCUCUUGAGAGCCGACCGUAUCCUUUUACCGUUUUGCUUCAUUGCUUAUUUGUGCACUUUAAAUGAAAGUCAUUUUUAUAUGACUGUGAUUGCUUAUUGGGUGGUAUACCACUGGGCUUUAGCUCAUACCGUGCCAUUUGUUUUCCUUACAGGAAAAUGAAAACUUUUGGAAAGGAUUUUGAUAGUUGGAUGACAAGUUGAGCUCUUGUACAUGUAAUUUUGUUUAGCUCCUUGAGGGUGAUAACCCUAAGUGUAUAGCUUUCUUUAAUGAAGGGCUUGUGUUGGCCUAAUUGUAUUGGUAUGAACUAAUGGGAUAGCUUGUACGCCGUUUGGCUUGUAAAUGUUGAUUUCCAAUGUAUUUAUAUGCUUGGCUGUGAUUCGGAUAAUUUUCGGAUCGAGAUGACUUCAAACGAAAACGGAAAAAAUUUUGCCGCAGAUGAACAGUGCCAAAUCCGGCCAGGAAUCCGGCUAGAAACUGGCCGGAUUGAAGGCCGGAUUGCCUGUGAAAAUUUGGAAAUCCGGCCAGACAAUCCGGCCGGAAUCUUGGCCGGAUUGCCGGCCGGAUUGCGAAGGGGAUAAGAAAAUUUUUGGCCAACUCUCUGGCCAGUAUCCGGCCAGGAAUCCGGCCGGAUUCUGUCGUGCAUUUCACUAUUCAUUUCGGCUUCAAUUUUCGUUUUUUUUUUAUUUUGCGAUUGUGGCUUGUUUGCGCACUAUGGGAUGUUCCGGAACGUUAUAGAUUGACGUAAACUGUACUGUUAGUCCUGGCGAGAGUUGGGCAGGCAGUCCGCUAACCUCUUUGGUUCGCCUUAGGGGAAGGUGGGGCUGUCACAGGUGGUAUCAGAGCCUAGGUUUGAAUUAGCCUGGGUGUUAUAGGAAUGCUUGAUCUGAGGGUUUAUUGUUUAUGGUUUUUAAGCUUAUUGAUUCUUAUUUUUACACUUUUGGUGUAGGAUGGACAGUUCCAGUGGACCUAGUGAUGGCCCUGCGGCCAAGCGACCCCGUGUACCGCUCCCGAUGAUUAAGUACCAGAUCCGGCCAAAGGGGGCCGUUAUUCGUUGGAGCCCGUCUAAUCGUCUUCGGCGGUGCGCGUGUAAAGAGAAGUAUGCUUACCCGAAUGCCCUCGUUUUGGCAGUUGUGAAGGAAAGAAAGGAGCUGGCAAAAGCUAAUGCCAAGCUUGAGGUUGAGGUGAAUCAGUUAAAGACGGCCAACGAGGGGCAAGCCAAAAGGAUAGAGGAUCUGAAGUACGAUGUACUAGAGGCGGAGGAUAGAGUCGAUGACCUCUGUGCCCAGCUGAGGGAGGCGCGUGAGCGCGAGUCUAAGAGGGCUCGGAAGGUGAGGACUCGAGCCGCUGCAAUCCUAAACCUCUGUGCCGAGGUGGUGGAAGGAGUGAGCGAUAAGGACUCCUAUGCGGGGUCGGAGGCUAGGGUUGGAUCCACUCCGUCGAGUGGGUCUCAUAGCUCAUCUUCGGGCUAGGUUAUGACUCCUAGAGUUGUUAUAGAUAGUUUUGGUCUUGUGUAUAGGGCUGUAAGUCCCACAGACAACCAAGAGGGGGGGUGAAUUGGGUUGAUUAAAAUCUUAACCAAGUUUAUGCACUUUUUCUUUAAUGAAAAUUUACCUUCCUUUUUAGUAAUGAUCAACCAAGUAGAUUUGAAGACAAUAGCAAUAUUGAUCAGAGAAGCAAGUAUAGAUAAGCAAUGAAGAUUUUAUUAAACAGAAAAGUAAGAUAGGGAAUCAAACCAAGUGUCUACCAAGCUGUCCUCAAACUUGAAGACCAAACACUAGGAAGAGCAACUUCUCCUUGAUGAAAGAAGAUUAACUAGAUGUACAAUGGAGGGAGCACUUCCUCCUUGCCCUAAGCCGCACUUAGUCAAGCUAAGAAGUUUUACAAUCACUCAGAAAACCCUCAACAAAGCUACACUAAAGAUUCUUUCAACCACAAAAGAAAUGCUCAACAGAAAUUCACACCACUUUAAAACAAAUCUGCUUUGGAGACUAUUUUCUAGCUAAAAUAUCUCUUGAGAACUUGUAAACAAAGUGUGCAAAAGUCCCUACUUCGUUCAGACCAGUUUGAUUUUAAAGGGAACCAGAAAUGGGCUUCAUCAAUGCUUCCAACGGAUAGAAGGCAGCUGAAGAGUCAACUAGCCGUUGGGGCUGUCGGACGUCCGACGAUCGAAUCAUCGUCCGAACCAAUCGUCCGAUGAUAGCCAAGUUGAGGUUCGGACGUCCGAUGAGUUUUUUUGUCGUCCGACAGCACAGCGUCCGACCUUGGGCCGAGAGCUAGCAAGUUAUCUUGGAAUUUUUCGGACGUCCGAUCUGGUUGAUAUGCGUCCGAGGUGUGCGUCCGAUCCUUCCGGACGUCCGAUGCUCCCAUAUGAGCGUCCGACAGAGCUUCCUUCCUGAUGUUCUUCAUCCUUUCGGACGUCCGACAGAUUCCUUUCGGCCGUCCGACCUGAUUGUCCUGUUUUUGCUUCACAUUUUGGUUGUUUUGCUUUUGAUGACAUAUUCGAACCUGAUUCUUGGAUAGACAAAAACACUUGUUUUCGAAGAAGGUUAGAUAAACAUUUCAAAGUGCCAAGAAUGACACACAAGACACACUUAAAAGACAGUAUCUUUGAUCGGAACAAAACAAUUACUAAAUUCAUUUAUAUUAUUUCAAUCUUGUUUGCCACAUCCAAAGCAUCGUAGACUGGAGUCAAUCAGACAUAUGCUUUCCUUGUUCCAUCAGGCCUGAUCAAAGUGUUCACUUUCUUGGUCUGUAUAAACGAACUUUUGUGAUCAUCAAAACCAAGAAUAACAUUCUCCCCCUUUUUGAUGAUGACAAAACAAAAGUUUGAAAUGAAAUUUGAUGAUUGCAAUGAAAACUCCCCCUUUCAAAAUAGACAAGAACUCCCCCUGCCUUAGUGAAUCAUAAAAAGUUUGAAAACCUCCCCCUCACUAGACUGCCCAACCGAGUUUAGACAAUUAUCCAAAAACAUGACAAUUAAGCAACUCACAACCAACAUAUCACCAAUUCAAUCCAUCAGCAAAAUCCAAAUUUAAUUAAACCAUCAAUCAAUUCAACAUAUCCAACAUCAUCAAAUCCUCAUCAAAUCCAACAUAUCAAUCAAUUAGUAUAUCAUUUCCAUUCUCCCCCUUUUUGUCAUCACAAAGGGCAACCAAUUACAUCAACACAUCAACACAUCCACAAAUACAUUCAUCAAUGAAAACCAAAAAAAAUUCAUUAUAUUCACACAAUUAGAAUAGACAAACAAACAUCCAUCAAGACAGUACUUAAACAUCCAUCAAAACAGAACUUAAACAUUCAUCAAAAACAUACCAAAAGAAACUUAAAAUAUCCAUUACAUUACAUAUUCAUUGUUGAAUACCACAAACACAUAAACGAGACAGACAACAUGCAAAUGUCCUAAAUGAUGAACUAAGUGGAUCCAGGUGUCCUCCGAGAGAGCUGAUAUUGGUCAAGAUCCUCCUCUUCAGUCUCUUCAUCAUCUUCAGCAGCCUCUUCAACUGGUGCCUUGCCUUUAUCUAAUGUAGAGGUGCCAUGAGGAGUCACAGGGGUUGAAGAACCAGGAUCCGGAAUUGAUGAACUUGGAUCAGUGGGGUGUGACUCUUUGUCAUGGGAAACUUCCUCAACCACAGGUGGAGGAAAAAGAAGAUUCUUUUUGUCAAGAAAGGCAGUUUGUUGCUCAGAAGACAUGGUGAGCAUGAGACCAUGUUCUAGAAGAAGAACAUGCUGUUUGAGUUCUUGAAGAAGCUCAAUUACUUCAUUACUGGAAGAGGAAGAUGCUUUAGUGGCAGACUUUCUAGGGUGAAUGGGAGUGAGUGAAAUGGGUGAAGGAUCAUGUACAGUCUUAGACCUCUGUUCACUAGAUGAUGCCCCCUUAUAUGCCCACAGAUUAUCUUUAAAAACAAGAUUUUUUCUUUCAAAAUAUGCUUUGGUAAAGGCAUAAGAAGAUGCUUCUUUGGGACAAACACCUAGAAUUGGAACUUUGUAAAACUCAAAAAUCUUUUGAAGAAACUUUCCAUAGGAUAGUUUUCUUCGAGAGUCAGUAGCAUAGCGAAGUAAAAACUUGCACAUAACAAAACCAAAAUCAAUACGAAUUUUUUCUCGAAAACAAUAAAAUAGAUACAACUCCAUUUUGUUUGCAUCAGUUCUGUGCCCAUCAGUGGGCACAAGCAGGUUUGAAAUGAUAGAAAAAGCAAUUAAAUUCACAGGGGCCAGAUCAUUCAACUUAGCAUCAGCAGGUGAGGAAAAACUUCUUUUGAAAUAGGUUAACAUUUUUGUCCCAUCAAAAUGAUUUGCAGCAGUAGGAAGCUCUUCAUAGGAAAAGAAAUUAGCAACCUUAUCUUUGCAUAAACGUUCAAUGGUAGUAUUUAAAAUGGAAUUCACAACAUCAGAAUCAAAGAUUAUGUCUACCCCAUUUACCCUAGACAUGAUCUCAGUUUGGUCAGUUCCUUUCCUAAGAUUGGCAAAAAAUUGAUGCAGCAUAUCAGGAUAGUAGACAUUGGGCAUGGAAAUCAGAUGUGACCAUUUCUGGAAAUCAAAUAGACUCAGAAUGGACUCUAACCCUAUGGAGCGAAAUUCAGAGGGGUUUACAGUUCUUUGAGGGAUGACACCCUUCUGGGAUAUCCAGGCGUAUUUGUCUUUCGCAGCAUCAUCAAAGAAUGGAGGGAGAGGGACUGAUUUAGGAGGCGGUUGAGAAGAGGUCCCCUGUCCAGAUUCUGGUUGAGAAGUGGGUUGUGGAGUAGGCCGUGACAUUUGACCCUUGAUAGCUCCCCUUUUGAAGCGUUUGGAUGUCCGUUUGACAGUGGGAAGAUCCUCAUCCACAUCCCUGAGUGGAUGCUUGCGUCCGGCAGUAACUUUUCCUCCCCUUAGAUUCACCAUUGCGCGAAAUGUGUGGAGUGAAGAAUGCAAAUGAUGCACACAGCAGUAGGGAAGUGAAUCGAACAAAAAUUUUGGAACAAACGACCUUGUACAAGAUUUGACAGAGCGGUUAUGAGAAGGUAGGGUUUUGAGGAAAAUUUGGGAAUGUGCGAAGUGAUAGAUGAUUCUGUGAAAUGAUCAGGAAAAAUGACUUGCAAUUGACCAGGAACUGUUUUGGUUGAGUCAAUUUGGGAAUGGGAGCUUCAAAAUGGUACGAAUUUGGGAGUGAGGGAAGGGAGAGUUUUCGUCCGAUAGAAAAUAGAAUAGGAAGAGUCUGAGGCAAUUGAGGAAGAAAGUUGUUUUUUAAAAAAUGAGCCGUUGCUCUGUCGGACGGCCGAACGAAGUUGUGCGUCCGACAGAUGCGUCCGAACAAGCGCAAUCUGGAAAAUGGCUGAAGAACAUCAUCGGACGUCCGUUCAUCUUCUUUCGGACGUCCGAAGACCCAAAGAAAAUUAAGAUGAUUUUUCGAUUAUUCCUAAUUUUGAUCUUAGAUGAAUGAACUGUUCUAAUGGCAAAGCUUUCGUAAAAAUAUCAGCAAAUUGAUCUUUAGAACAAACAUAAUUUACACAUAUUUCACCUUUUUGAACAAGAUCACGAAUAAAGUGAUGCUUUAUAUCUAUGUGCUUUGUCCUAGAAUGAUGAAUAGGAUUUUUGGUCAAAUUGAUAGCACUAGUAUUAUCACAGAAUACAGGCAUGCAGUCAUACAACAAUCCAAAAUCAUUCAAAGUGUGCUUCAUCCAUAGAAGUUGAGCACAACAUGCACUAGCGGCAAUAUAUUCCGCUUCGGUGGUAGACAAAGAGAUUGCACAUUGUUUCUUGCUAAACCAAGAGACUAAACAAUUUUCAAGAAAAUGACAAGUUCCACUCGUACUCUUUCUAUCCACAUGACAACCUCCAAAAUCAGCAUCCGAAUAACCAUAUAGAGCAAACUCAUUAGAUCUAGCAUACCAAAGACCAUAGUCCAAUGUACCUUUCAAAUACCUAAAAAUUCUUUUUACAGCAUUCAAAUGUGAUUCUUUUGGACAAGAUUGAAAUCUAGCACACAAGCAAACAGCAAACAUAAUAUCAGGUCUACUUGCGGUUAAAUAAAGUAGGCUUCCGAUCAUACCUCUAUAAUGCUUUUCAUCCACAUGAUUACCUUCUUCAUCUUUGUCAAGCUUUGUAGAAGUGCACAUUGGAGUUCCAACUUGUUUUGAGUCCUCCAUGCCAAACCUUUUCAGCAAUUCCUUGGUAUAUUUUGCUUGAUUUAUAAAAAUUCCCUCAAGAGCUUGAUGUAUUUGAAGUCCAAGGAAGAAAUUUAAUUCUCCCAUCAUACUCAUUUCAAAUUCACUUUGCAUAGUGGUGGAAAACUCCUUACAUAGAUACUCAUUAGUAGCACCAAAAAUAAUAUCAUCAACAUAUAUUUGCACAAUAAGAAGGUCAUUCAACACUUGCUUAGUAAAAAGUGUGGUGUCCACAACACCCCUUUUGAAACCAUUUUCAAUCAGAAAACCACUUAGUCUUUCAUACCAAGCUCUAGGAGCCUGUUUUAGACCAUAUAAAGCUUUAGAUAGUUUAAACACAUGACUUGGAAAUUUUGUAUUUUCAAAACCGGGGGGUUAAUCCACAUAUACUUCUUGAUCAAUAAAACCAUUUAAAAAGGCACUUUUAACAUCCAUUUGAAACAAUUUGAAGCCUUUGAAGCAAGCAAAAGCAAGUAGCAUUCUAAUAGAUUCUAAUCUAGCUACGGGAGCAAAUGUUUCAUCAAAAUCGAUUCCUUCUUCUUGUGCAUAUCCUUUAGCAACUAAUCUGGCUUUAUUUCUUACAACAACACCUUUAUCAUCCAACUUAUUUCUAAAUAUCCACUUUGUGCCAAUGAUAGGUUGAUUUUGAGGUCUAUCAACAAGUGUCCAAACUUCAUUUCUCUCAAAUUGAUUGAGUUCCUCUUGCAUAGCCAAAAUCUAGUUUUCAUCCUUUAAGGCAUCAUUGAUAUUUUUGGGUUCAAAAAGAGAAACUAAAGCAAAAUUGCCAAUCAAUUUUCUAGAUGAGGAACGAGUGUUUACCUUCUCGGAUGGAUCACCAAUUAUCAGUUCUUUUGGAUGAUUUUGGCUGAAUUUCCAAGCCUUGGGAAGAUCUUUGAGUGGAUCAUCAUUUUUGUCUUCAUCUUCCUCUUCUUGAUCAUUAUGAACUUCAUUUUCCAUUUCAGUUGCUGCUGGUUUAGAACUUCCUUCAUUUCCAAUUGAUAACUUUUCCAUUCCUUCUCGAACACCUACAUCAUCAUCCUCACACGAACUUUUGGAAUUAUCAUCAUUGGUUUCAUCAAAAGUUAUAUGUAUAGCUUCUUCAAUCACAAGAGUCCUUCUAUUAAAAACUCUAUAUCCUCUUUUAUUCUCACAAUACCCCAAAAAUAUUCCUUCAUCAGAUUUUUUAUCAAACUUAUCAAGAUGUUCCUUUAGAUUCAAAAUAAAGCAUUUACAACCAAAUACUUUGAAAUAACCAACCGUAGGUUUCUUAUCAAAAAACAGCUCAUAAGGGGUUUUCUUUAAGAUAGGCCUCAAGAGAAUUCUAUUCAUCACAUAACAUGCAGUGUUUACUGCUUCAGCCCAAAGAUAUUUAGGCAACCUACAUUCAUUCAACAUAGUUCUAGCAGCCUCUUGGAGAGUCCUAUUUUUCCUUUCUACAACACUAUUUUGCUGUGGAGUCCUUGCAAUAGAGAACUCAUGUGUUAUACCAUUAUGAUCACAAAAUUCUGGAAAACCACAAUACUUGAAUUCAGUCCCAUUAUCACUUCUAAUCCUAACAACUUUUAACCCAAACAGAUUUUGUACUUUAGCAAACAAUGAAGUAAAAUUCUUGAAGGCAUCAUCUUUAUGAGCAAGAAAUAUCACCCAUGUGUAUCUAGAAUAAUCAUCCACAAUCACAAAACAGUAUUUCUUACCACCCAAGCUAGAGAUUUGAGUAGGGCCAAAUAAGUCAAGAUGCAAGAGUUCUAAGGGUUUUGAAGUAGAUACACACUUCUUUGUUUUAAAAGAAACUUUUGUUUGCUUUCCAAAUUGACAUGCAUCACAUAUUUUAUCCUUUUCAAAACUGAUUUUUGGCAAGCCUCUAACUAGUUCCUUUUUCGAAAUUUCCUUUAGUAAGUCCAUGUUAAAAUGACAAAGUCUUCUAUGCCACAACCAGGAUCUUCAUUUGAAGCUUUAAGACAUUUUAAGCUAGAAGAAUCAACUUUAUCAAGAAUCACAAUAUAUAUGUCAUUAAACCUCUUACCUUUGAACACAACAUUAUAUUUGGAAUCAAGUACAAUGCAUUCAUGCUUUUUAAAUAACACAUACAAGUCUUUAUCACACAAUUGACUAACACUAAGUAAGUUAUAACCUAAGUUAUCAACUAAGAGCACAUUUUGAACAAAUGUUUCACCAUUCUUACCAACAUCACCUAUUCCAAUUGUCUUAGCUUUCACAUCAUCACCAAACGUCACCUUUCCACUUGAUUUUGAUUUCAGCUUUAUGAACAAAGAGGGAUCACCGGUCAUGUGCCUUGAGCAGCCGCUAUCAAUAAACUAUUUGGACUUGUUUGAUCCUUUUUCCUGAAAAGAUAAAGUGUUUGGUACCCCUUUUUAAUUUUUGGGUCCAUAGUAGUUAGCAUUGUAUCUAACUAAUCACAUGCAUAUCAUCCCUUUGUUCAGAUUUCUUUUCACAUAGCAAUUUCCAUUCAAAUGCCCUUUUUGACAACAAAAGUUACACAUAAUGGAAGAGUCCUUAACAUGUACUGGUUUGACAUAUCUCAGUCCACCUCUUCUAUAUGUUGUGAAUCCAUGUGCAAUUCUGUUGUGUGCAAAUGUUCUUUGAAAAGCAGUAAGAUGAGUAGAUGACAUGUUCCUUUUGAAAAAGUCCUGCUUUCUAGCUUUCAAAGAUUCAUCCAAGUUGUCCAUUCUUUUCUUCAAAUCACCAUGUCUUUCCUUCAGCAUUUCACAAGUAUUUGUCUUUCUAACAAGCUCAUUUUGAAUAUCACAUCCAGCUCUUACAAGACAUUCAUUGUCAGUCUUUAGUUGAUUAUUUUGUUGAAAGAGACUUGUAUUUUCUUGAAUGAGGAAAGCAAUUUUCUGUUUUAACUGCUUGUUUUUAUCAUAAGAUUCCUUCAAUGCACUAUGCAGUUUUUCAACAAAGGAUUCAAGAUCAUCAUCUUCAUCAUCAUCACUUUCGGAUUGAGAGUGAGUGGAAGUUACCUCAUUAUUUCCAAUAGCCAUGAAGGCCAUUUGAGCUGAUUCUUCUUCUUCUUCAACUUCCCCUUCGGAGUUGCAUUCAUUCCAAGUAAUCUGAAAGUUGUUGAAUCUUGGCUUUCGAUCAGCUUUUCCAUCUUUCAUCUUCUUCAUGGGGCAUUCAUUUGCAUAGUGUCCAAUCUGUCCACAUUCGAAGCAUUUGUCCAACUGUUUCUUGUUGAAAUCUUGUUUUCCUUUGUACUUUGCGAUAGAUGGCUGAUUCUGGAAUUGAUUGCUAGGUUCUCCCCUUCUAAACUUUCUUUUAUUCAAGAUUCUUUUGAAGCUUCUGGUGAUAAGAGCAAGAUCAUUAUCAUCACCAUCCGAGUCUUCAUCAUCCAGGUGAGCUGGAUCAUCUUCACCUUGAGUAGUCUUUAGAGCAAUGUUUCUCUUUGCUCUAUCAUCCUCUUCCUCCUGCACUUUAGAUUUCAGUUUCAACUCAUAAGAGGUUAGUGAGUUAAUGAUAGAUUCCAUAGGCACAGAACUUAAAUCCUUAGCCUCCUCUAUUGCAGUCAAUUUAUUUUCCCAUUCUUUGCCCAAUGCAUUGAGAAUUUUCCUGUUCUUCUCUCCCAAGGUGUACUCUUUGCCCAAGGCUUCGAGAUCUUUGAUCAAGUCAGUGAACCUGCAAUACAUUUUGUCAAUAUCCUCAAGAGGUUCAAUUUUAAAUGAUUCAUAUUUUGUGACCAAGAUAGCCUUUUUCUGUUCCUUCACGUUGUCACCACCCUCAUGGAUUUCUCUUAGUUUAUCCUACAUUUCUUUGGCCGAUUUGCAGCCUUUUACUCUAAUUGAUUCAUUUGAAUCUAGGGCACUAUAAAGAACAUUCAUGGCCUUGGCAUUCAAUGUGAGGUUAGUUCUAUCUUGAGCAUUCAUUUCAGCUCUCGUUUUUUGCCGAAGCAACCCUGUAUCUGCAUCAAGAAAGUUAGCUUCAUGCGGUCUUUCACUCACAAUAAAUCAUAAUUCAAUAUCAAUAGAUUGCAGAAAGAUAAUCAUUCGUUCUUUCCAGCUAACAUAGUUGGAGCCACUGAACAUAGGAGGCCUAGUAACAGAUUGCCCCUCAACAAACAUAGCAUGACUGGUUGUCAUCUUUACUCCAAGCCGUUAGAGCUUAAUCUCAAGGAGACCAAGCUCUGAUACCAAUUGUAAGUCCCACAGACAACCAAGAGGGGGGGUGAAUUGGGUUGAUUAAAAUCUUAACCAAGUUUAUGCACUUUUUCUUUAAUGAAAAUUUACCUUCCUUUUUAGUAAUGAUCAACCAAGUAGAUUAGAAGACAAUAGCAAUAUUGAUCAGAGAAGCAAGUAUAAAUAAGCAAUGAAGAUUUUAUUAAACAGAAAAGUAAGAUAGGGAAUCAAACCAAGUGUCUACCAAGCUGUCCUCAAACUUGAAGACCAAACACUAGGAAGAGCAACUUCUCCUUGAUGAAAGAAGAUCAACUAGAUGUACAAUGGAGGGAGCACUUCCUCCUUGCCCUAAGCCGCACUUAGUCAAGCUAAGAAGUUUUACAAUCACUCAGAAAACCCUCAACAAAGCUACACUAAAGAUCCUUUCAAUCACAAAAGAAAUGCUCACCAGAAAUUCACACCACUUUAAAACAAAUCUAGCUUUGGAGACUAUUUUCUAGCUAAAAUAUCUCUUGAGAUCUUGUAAACAAAGUGUGCUAAAGUUCCUACUUCGUUCAGACCAGUUUGAUUUUAAAGGGAACCAGAAAUGGGCUUCAUCAAUGCUUCCAACGGAUAGAAGGCAGCUGAAGAGUCAACUAGCCGUUGGGGCUGUCGGACGUCCGACGAUCGAAUCAUCGUCCGAACCAAUCGUCCGAUGAUAGCCAAGUUGAGGUUCGGACGUCCGAUGAGUUUUUUGUCGUCCGACAGCACAGCGUCCGACCUUGGGCCGAGAGCUAGCAAGUUAUCUUGGAAUUUUUCGGACGUCCGAUCUGGUUGAUAUGCGUCCGAGGUGUGCGUCCGAUCCUUCCGGACGUCCGAUGCUCCCAUAUGAGCGUCCGACAGAGCUUCCUUCCCGAUGUUCUUCAUCCUUUCGGACGUCCGACAGAUUCCUUUCGACCGUCCGACCUGAUUGUCCUGUUUUUGCUUCACAUUUUGGUUGUUUUGCUUUUGAUGACAUAUUCGAACCUGAUUCUUGGAUAGACAAAAACACUUAUUUUCGAAGAAGGUUAGAUAAACAUUUCAAAGUGCCAAGAAUGACACACAAGACACACUUAAAAGACAGUAUCUUUGAUCGGAACAAAACAAUUACUAAAUUCAUUUAUAUUAUUUCAAUCUUGUUUGCCACAUCCAAAGCAUCGUAGACUGGAGUCAAUCAGACAUAUGCUUUCCUUGUUCCAUCAGGCCUGAUCAAAGUGUUUACUUUAUUGGUCUGUAUAAACGAACUUUUGUGAUCAUCAAAACCAAGAAUAACAAGGUCGGAUAGGGAUAGAGCCUUAGCUAACCGUUUUGGAUGUAGGGUUAGCUACGUGUAAAUCUCUUUUGAUAGGCCUAUCCUCAGGUGAAUCUUUUGUGUACGUACGUGCUUUGGCCGUACUUGACUGAGUGCUUGUAUAUAUAUGUUUGGCUUGUAUAUAUGUGUGCUUGUGACCCUGUGUGAAAUGUAUCAAUAUGUGUUAUGUGAAACUUUAUGUGUUACUUACCUGCUUUAUUACUGCUUUGGUUUAGUACUUUUGCCUAGACCGAGUGAAUUUAUGGAAGGAACACGAAGUGGUUGGGGACGCGGGCGCGGAACUAGACAAACCGCACCGGUUAGGGAAACGGGGGAAUCCUCUACUGGACCUAACCCUGGACCGCAAUUAGACCCCAAUGUGCAAAUCGCUGCUGCUAUGCAGCAAAUGACCAACCUACUCGCACAAGUAGUGCAACAACAGGGCCAAAACCCAAACCCUAACCCUGGAAACCCUGGCCAUCAUGUCGAGAGUGAAGAUAGAGCGCUAGAACGGUUUCAAAAGUUUUCUCCGCCAAAGUUUAUUGGGGGACCCGACCCUGAUGUGGCUGAGAAAUGGCUUGAGAAAAUGGUUGAUAUAUUCGCGGCCCUACACUACCCGGACGAACGGCAGGUCACUUUUGCCGUGUUUCAACUUGAAGGGGCUGCCCGUUCCUGGUGGAACGUAAUUAGACAGAAAUGGGAAUGGGAGCAGACACCGAGGACUUGGGUGAACUUCAUCCGGGAAUUUAAUGCCAAGUUUUUCCCUCCCUUAGUCCAGGAGAGGAAGGAAGACGAGUUUAUCCGGCUCCGGCAAGGGGCUCAGACGGUGGCGGAGUACGAGAGCCAGUUUACCCGCCUGUCCAAAUUCGCGCCUGAACUGAUCAUGACUGAGCAACGACGGGUGAGGCGUUUCAUUCAGGGUUUGAAUGUGGAGAUCCAGAAAGACCUCGCGGCGGCUCAAAUCACUACAUUUAGCGAGGCAAUGGAGAAGGCCCAACGGGUUGAGAGUGCACGGCUUCAGGUCCGAAACUUCCAGGCUAAAAAGCGUGGUUUUCCUGGGAGUACAUCUGGACAGGGUGAGAAGAGCACUCCCUCUAAGUUUGGACGAGGCACGGGAGGUGGUCGACAAUCUGGAUCAGGCAGAGGGACUCCGUUUAGGGGCGGCCAAGCUGGGCGAGGACAAAGGGGAAACGCUCGGAGUGGUUCGGCUUUGGCACCUCGCGGUCCCUGUGGGCACUGUGGGAAAGCAAACCACACCGAAGAUGAUUGCUGGAGGAAACUGGGUAAGUGCCUGCGGUGUGGAAGUGCGGACCAUCAACUGGCUACAUGCCCGGUCCUGAAACAAGACGGAAAGGGAAGUCAGCUACCGUCGAGGACCAAUACUGGACCAGCCAAGGGAGACGGAUCGAAACCGAAGGUGCCAGCUAGGGUGUAUUCCUUAGAGCCCCAUCAGGUCCCAGAGUCUUCCGAGGUGGUGAAAGGUACGAUCCCUAUUUUCCACCGCUUUGCCAAAGUUUUAAUUGAUCCUGGUGCCACUCAUUCGUUUGUUAACCCUGAUUUCAUGUGUGGCAUCGAUAUAAAACCUGCUAGCUUACCAUAUGACCUAGAGGUCAGUACACCUACGGGGAAUCAACGUUUGGUGACUAGUAUGGUUUAUAAGGAUUGCGAUGUAUGGGUAGGUGAAAGGAGGUUUUUAGGGGACUUGAUUAGCUUAUCCAUUAAGGGGUACGACGUAAUUCUGGGUAUGGACUGGUUAGCCAAAUAUAACGCCCAACUGGACUGUAAAACGAAAAUAGUUGAAUUUCGCAUUCCUGGCGAGGCAACCUUAAGGUUAGAUAUAAGGGGUAGGUUAGCCUCAUCUGCUCUUAUUUCGGGCAUUCGAGCUAGGAAAUUGAUAAGUAGAGGGGCGCAAGGAUUUUUGGCCUUCUUAAUUAAUACCCCUACGGAUAAGUUAAAGGUAGAAGAUGUGACCAUAGUGAGGGACUUUCCGGAUGUUUUUCCUGACGAGUUAGUAGCCCUACCGCCGGAAAGAGAGAUAGAAUUUCGAAUUGACCUUUUACCUGGAACUGCACCUAUCUCAAAAACCCCUUAUCGAAUGGCGCCUGCAGAACUUAAGGAGCUUAAGUUGCAAUUGCAAGAUCUGUUGGAGCGCGGUUUCAUUCACGAGAGUGAGUCUCCUUGGGGAGCUCCUGUUCUAUUUGUGAAGAAAAAGGAUGGAACCUUGAGAAUGUGCAUUGACUAUCGGGGUCUAAAUAAUGUAACGAUCAAGAAUAAGUAUCCACUGCCCCACAUCGACGAAUUGUUCGACCAGUUGCAAGGAGCAGUGGUCUUCUCGAAAUUGGACCUCCGGCAGGGAUACUAUCAAUUGUUGAUUAAGAAGGAGGAUAUUCCGAAAACUGUCUUCAACUCGAGAUACGGACAUUACGAGUUCGCCGUUAUGCCCUUUGGACUGACUAAUGCUCCCGCCGCCUUCAUGGACUUAAUGCAUAGGGUUUUUAAACCCUACCGGACCGAUUUGUCGUUGUGUUCAUUGAUGACAUUUUGGUCUACUCUAAGACACGUGAGGAGCAUGAGGAGCAUUUGAGAAUGGUGUUGCAGACAUUGAGGGAACAUCAACUAUACGCCAAGUUUAGCAAAUGCGAGUUCUGGUUGGAGAAAGUAGCGUUUCUAGGGCAUGUGAUCUCUCACGAAGGUAUCUCGGUGG
Molecule: long non-coding RNA, 71170 nt
Filed under: Coffea arabica (coffee)
Lineage: Eukaryota; Viridiplantae; Streptophyta; Magnoliopsida; Gentianales; Rubiaceae
Description: long non-coding RNA (CARA_LNC005082)
Source: RNAcentral